AGAAUUCUAACUGUCAUAUUUGUACCACGUCAUCAAUAACAAAUCAAUUAUAUUAAUAUUUUUUAAAUAAAAAUAUAAUAAAAAUAUAUUUUUACAAUUAUGAUGGAAUAUAUACUCCUAAAAAGAGAUAUUUAAUUAAUUUAUUACGCCACGUCACCAAUAUACUUGUUGCAUUCUAAAUUUUCCCUACGUACACACCUCCUAUGUUUACAAUAAAUAAUAGGAUAAACUUCAAAUACCAAUUUCCCACUUUUUUUAAUUUAGUAUGUUAUAAUUUAAAGUAUAUUAAUUUAGUAUUCUAUAAUUUUUUUAAAAUUUUUUUUAUUAAAUUAGUGACAAAAUUAAAAUUAAAAAAUAUUAAAGUGAAUAUUCGAUAAAUAUAUAUAAGGUAUCUAAAAUUUUUUUAUAUAAUUUAACGAAAUAUUAAUGGAGGAGCUGACGAAAAAAAUAAAAUAAAAUUACGGAAUAGUAAAUUAAUACACUUUAAAUCACAAAGUAUUAAAAUAAGAAAGUCUAAAACCACUAGAGUGGUAUUUAAUUAAAGUUUACCUUAAAUAAUAAUCAGCAUGCAUGGAGGCACAAUGCACGUCUUUUGCUUAAACCAAUGUUAUCCCAAUUAACCAAAUCGCCCUUCAUCUGCAAUCGCAAGAUUUAAAUACUAAUACGUUAAUUCAAACAACAAAAUAAAUUAUAUAUAUAUAUAUAUAUAUAUAUAGUUAGAUCGAUAAUUUAUUAUUAAUUGUGUACAAAUAAGGAUGAACGGAAAUGAAUUAGAACUGUAGUUGCAGCAUAUUAGAUCUAAGCAGAUUUGUUUGAUAAGAAAUGAACAAUUUUAAACAGCUUAUUCUCUCAGACAUAAAAUUUUAUCCUUUUGAUAAAAUAUUUGUAGUUUCUUUGAGUGUGGAAUUUUUGAUAAUUUGAAUGGUGAGAUGUAUUUUUAGAGGAGCAUUAAUUGUUUGUAUAUGAACUCAAGGUCGGUAUGGGGGUGGUUGGGGCACAUGGACAUAGAACGAGUCUACAUUUUAUUAGUAAGGAUGUACUCAGAAAUGCUCUGACCUUUUGGUAUAUUUAUCCCUUAGAAAGGUAGUAAUUAAGGAUUCAUAAAUGCUCACAUGAGCCAUGUGAACCCUUCCUCCAAUCUAAUUAAGUUGUGGAUGAAGCAACAUCAGCCAGUGUGUUCCUGUUAAAUUGUAAAUAAAAAUAUAUGUAGUGACUUUUCUUUGUGAUUGAUCGAAAAGUGUCGUUGAGACGUUUCUGAAAAUUUAUAAUAAUCUCAUUGCUUUUAAUAAAAUCUCACGUUCGACACCUACUAAGAAAGGAGAGAAGUAAGAGCUAACGAGUUUAAACAUAUUACAAUAUUAACGAAAAUUGCGGUAGUCAAAGCAUUGCAAGGAUAUAUUAGACCGUUCACUUGCAUACGUGUCUUAAAUUAUUCAAAGGGGUUAAUUAAUUAAGGAAAAGUCAAAAGUAUUAAUCAUAAUCUUAGACAACUGGAUCACCUCUUGUAAUGAGAUGUAACCCAUAGAUGUUGGUUUACAGGGUGAGUACAUCAAUGAUCGGUACAUCCCUGGGCCCCAAGCAGGUGCAUCCCUUUCAGUUGACAAAAUGAAUGCCAUGCACCUUAUACCAUCACGGGAUAGUAGUGAAUCACAUUAAUACACACCACACCACAUUCUGAAAUAUGCAUGACACUUAUCUCAAGGACCAUUAUCAUCUUUAAUAAGAGAGAGAAAGAGAGAGAGUAUUGAGGGAAGGAGUGUUUUUAACUGUUGGUUUCCACAGAAAAAAAAAAAAUUACUAGUUUAUUUUCACAAUACUCAUGAGUGUUGAAAACUUAGCACUUAUUUAAUCAAGAUGACGCUUAUGCAGAAUUGUUAUUUGAAUAAUACUUAAUUGGCUUUUAGGCAGAAUUGUUAUUUGAGUAAUAUUUGGCUUUUAGGAGCUCUCGACAGAACUCGGAUGGAGGGCUCUUUAGCGAGCGCAUUCUAAGGGCUACACGUUCACCACCACCCAUAUAUACUUGCUUCUGUCGCUAAUCUUGAAGUAGCAAUUCUUACUCAGUUUAAUUUAGUAUUGGUGUCACUCUCCUCAGCAGAUAUCACUGAGGAGCGACUCAUUCAAAUUUUGUUUUGAACUUUCAACCAUCUGUUCAACUUCACUAUUUUUAUAGUAGUGAAAAGUAUCCCAAAAUUUAGGCCGAACAACGUUAAUUAGGCCUUCGGCAUGUUUUAAGCAUAUAGAUUUGGUGGAGCUUUGGAGUAUACGAUAUGAUUAAAAGUUGUUAUUGCCUAAUAAAUUCACUUAGACCUUUAUUAUUUCGAAUUGAUUGAACAAAUCUAGUGCAGUUUAGGCCCAGCCCAACGUAGCAGCUUACUGGAUUCAACCUGAUUUGAGGAUUUUUUUUUUCUAUUUUUUUUUAUAAUUUGACCAUAGGCAAACCUGAAAACUAUUUAUUAGGAAUUAAAUUCACAGCGAGAUACGGAACACCCACGAAAAAAAAAAAAUAAAGAAAGAAAGAAAAUCUUAUUGCCUCUGUUUCCGAUGUUGUAUACUUGCGCGUACACGGCGAACUGCAGCGGUAAAGCAGAGCAUCGUAGCCAAUCACAUUCACUUUUUGCUUUGUACUAAAACAGAAUUGCUCUCAUGUACAUUUUAUUAAGUGAUAAAAUUUAUAUUUAUCUACUUAAAGAAGAAAAAUAAAGUGAAUAACCCUUCGCCCUCGACGAUGCCAUAUGAAAAUUAAUAUUAAUUUUAAAAGACAACACAAUGGGGCUAUGCACACUUUCAUUUUUUUGGAGGCAUACAUGUAAAAAUAAAGCACAUCUGAAACAAUAGUUGAUCAGGAGAACGAGCCACGAUUCAACAAGCUCAACAGUUUAUGAGACACCAGCGAUGAGUGAGCAGAAAACGACAAGAGUAAUUUAAGAUCACAGAAACAACAAGAGUAAUUUAAGAUCACACAAUCUUAAUAGCUUCACGGACGCUGUGUAUAUAAUAAAUCCACCUCUAUUUCAUAUACAUAACAAAAAGCGGGAGAAAUUACAACACCGAGAAGAGAAAUACAACCUAAAAUCUCAAACUAACCAUCAAUCCACGAGCCGUAAGAACAACCCCAGAAACAAUAACAACAAGACAACGUAAUAUCAUACAUCGAUAAAGAAUUGCAGGCUAUGAGAUGGCUCAUCGACUCUGUUGAUUUUAAAAUCUGCAAUUUCUGAUUAUAAUCAAAGCAUAUACAUGUGGAGAGAACGACGGCGGGCCAAUUGGCAAAUAUCAUUAAAAGCCUUGAAAGGCUUCUGCAGAUAGCAGUCGCCUUGUGGUCGGAGCUGGUGGUGCCAAUCCAGGUAUAUCUCUGAUGUUCUUGUUGUUUGGGUGUACAAUCUGAAAAGUCGACAAAGAAAAAAUACUGAUUAUUAUUUGGAGAAACCAAUCAUGGAAACAACACAGGAAUACAUGCAGAAUAAAAUUAUUGGCAAAUUUGAUAUCAUGUUAGCAAAGAAAGAUGGAUACGUCAAAAUUUUCCAUGUCUCUGUUGGGAGCUGAUUAUAUAAAUAACCAUAAGGCAAAAAUGUCAACCAGCAAUUGAACGAAGGGUUGACAUUGCAAGAAAUUAGUUCAAGAAAAAGUCUAAGUGGAAGAUUAACAAUUAAAUUUUAACUGCAGAAAGUUCGUUCCUGCCAGUGUGUUUUACCCUUUGAUAAAUUAAUAAAUAGAACUCCAGAUACUGUAGCAUAUAUACAUUCAUAAUACUAAGGGACCACCAUUGAGACCAUAGAAGUAGGGACAUUGGUCUAUGCGAGCUUACUUACAACGUCGGUGCAUUAAGUUAAUUUCCAAGUCAAUAAUUUGAACUAAGAACAGAGAAACAUGAUAAAGAUCUAAUCCUGAUAUAUGACAAGAAGUUGAUAAUAUGCACCUUCACAAUGAUGAUUGCAAUAACACCACAAACGAUCAAAAACAGGAAAAACAUAAUGCAUUUAUCAGUAGCCACCUGCAAGUUUACAGAUAAGGUUGUUUAGACAGGUAUAUACAGGAGAAGUUGAAAUAUGUGAUUGUGCAUGGUAGUAUUUAAUAAGCUCACCUGCCUACCAAUCUCUUUCACCAGUUGAGAAGCCUUCUUAAUCGAGAACUGAAUAGUAUCAAGUUCAUUGACAAUGCGACCCAUUUGUUCAGUCUGCAAAUCAUAGAACAAACUUCUAUGAGGCAGGAAAAUGUUCAAGAGUGAACGAGUCCCUAAGAGAUAUUAGACUUGUUGGGUACGCUUGAUAUUAAUGUCAAAAAUUUCUAUACAGGCCUGUCCCGGGCCAAACUAGCAAUCAGGUAAGCUAGCUCCAUUUAUAACCAAUAUAUUUCAGAUAUUACAGAAUCUACUUACUUGUCCCUUAAGGUUUGCAGCAGUCUGAGCUCCAACGUCAAUAGUUUGCUCAACAACCUACAAUUCAACUUUCACAUGAGAGUUAGGAGAGAGAAAAUGAUAGGACAAUGCAAGUUGAUACUAUACCAUUUUUGAGCGUUCAAUAGCUUGAUCAGUCUCAUCCAUCUUCUUCCUUCCAGCAUCAAUAAGCUCUUGAUUAGACAUUUCUGCAAGACAGACAGAACAUGCUUUCAUUCUUAUUCAGAUGCUAGAAGGUAAACCUCCAACCAAUGUUAUAGAGAAAAUUAAUGACACACUUCGACAAUCCAUUGAGAGAUAGCGUUGUCUCUGUUUUGAGUAUCACUUGAUAUGCGCCUCUACUAAAUCUUCUCCACAAAUAAGGAACUUGAUCCGUUCAGAAGAUUGAGACUAUCAAGAAUCACAAGAAUACGCUUUCACUUUACCAAACUUUCACUUUACCAUCCUAUAAUAUCCACACCAAAACGGGAAAAGACCCUAGAUUAAUCAUUUCCAGCUUAUUUUCAAAAUUUAGAAAAAGUAUAAGACACACACUUGCAAUUUAUUCAGUAAGUACAUAGAGAAAAGAAUCUGCAUCAUCAUUUCAUUCUAUAUGCCUCUUGAUAUAUAAAAUAUUCAAAUGUGAUGUCCAUUUUCCAGCUGACCUACAAUUAGCUUCUACAGUAAUCCUAUGUCAUUUAAUACUUGCACAUUCAAGAUCAAGUCAGGUUUGUGGCCUGGUCAGGUUGCACCCAGCUUCUAAAUCAUUUCUUUAGAAUACAUAACCGCUAAUAUGUCAUCACUGAGCCACCUCUAGUUUGUUUUGACGCAUUGGCACAAUAUCAACAGCCUGAUAAUUGCUUUUAGCGGAUGGAUAAAUAAGUUGAUAUAUUCAUCAGACAAUUCAAUCUGUCAUCAUGAACAACUGUAAACAUAACGUAGCUUAGGAAAAGUAGUAGAACUUAAAAAAAAAAGUUUAGCCAUACAUGAACAAAUAAAUCAGGAAAGGAUUGCUUUUAAAUGAGUUCUAAGUGCAAAGGAUAUUAACAAUUACCUGAAGCCAGUCGAACAUUGUCAUCAGGUACAGCAUCACUGCCUCCGGCACCCAUGUCAAAGAGUUCAACUCUCUUAUUACCAAGGCUACUCUGAUAUCUGCCAUAGUAUCAUAAUGAGGAGACAUUGGCAUUAGUAAACAAGAAAACUUCAAAAAUAAAAAAACCACCGACUAAAUUUUCAGACGAAAGACACAUGAGCUGGAAAGAUAGAGAUGUGAAAGGUCAAGUUGAAGAAAAAGUCAAAAGCGGAAUAAUUGAAGAGUUUGAUGAACAAUGAAAACUUAAUAAUUUUCUUCCAGAUAUCUAUAUGUUAAUCGGUUGACAGAUAUUUGGUGUUUAUUUUAAAGCUCAAGCCUUAAGAGUAGUAAAAGGGCCAGAGACUUCUAGUUUGAAGUACAAAAUUACUAGAAAAGAAGGCUAAUUUAGCAUCUGAAGACAAACUGUAGCAUGAUUGAAUGCUACACAAUAAAAGAAAACAAGGAUAGCCAAGGAAAAUACAUCACUGCAAGCAACAGACUAUUCCAUAAGCUCGUCCACGGAAAUUCUACUUAAAUUGCUAAAGAUAUGAGACUUAUGAUGCACUCCCAUAACGUCCUAUCCUAAGCCAGAAGUUUAGCUUAUUUUCAAGCAAGCAGACGAGAAGCAUAUGCUGGCAAUAUAGGUUUCCCAGCUUGAGUUGUUACCACAACUUUGUCACAAUCCAAUCUUCAAUUUUGUCCAUAAUAAUGUCAUUACUUUGAGCAUCUCCAGCUAAUAAUCUUUUUAUUACAAAUCAGGUCAGUUGGAGAUGCAGUUUUAGAAAAUGAAAAAAAAAAGUGUAUGCAGCAAGUAUUUUAUACUUACGUUUUUCUCAAGGCGACAUACGAGUUUAGCUCUUUUAUCUGUCAAAAAUGCAGUGAAAAUCAAUAGUUAAAUAGAAACAAAAAAGAUUAAAAAUAGCAUUGAAACAAGAAGAAAAUCACUUACCAUGGAUUGCUUCCUUUCAUUAAGCUGUUUAUUGACAUCAGGAGGGUUUCGACUCUCCUCCUCCUUAAAUACGCGGUCAAAUUCUUUGAUUAAACUGUUAAAAGAAGGAUUUUCAAUUAAUAAGAAUGCAUGCAGCUUCAAUCUUUGUUAGAAUAGAACAUGAUGCAGAAUCAAUAAGGGAUUCCUGAGUGAUAAAAAUAUAGUGAAUGUCAUGCGGCAUGGGAUCCAUGCGUAAGAACUUAUCUGCAUGUAAUGAAGCUGAAAAAGUUCAAUUAAUUUCAAUUACAAUCAAUAAAUUGACAAUUAAGUUUUAUCAGACCAACCGCUUACACUCCCUCAUUUGUCCAGUUAGCUCCUCCAAAUGCUUAGACUGCCUAUUAGCGUCUUUAAUCUUGUCCAACUUCUGGAAUCCAUUCCUGCAAAAAAGAAAAAAAGGGAAAAAGAAAGGUAGGAACCUCAUAGUCAGUCGAAACAAAUUACAAACCUAUUCAUUACACUGCCACACUAGAGUGUGUUGAUAUCAACAAUAAGUAUUGAACGUGAAGGUUUACAAGAAGAAUUUUACAGCACAUAUAGGAAGUAUCGCUACAUACCUUCAUGGAACUAGAAAUGUUUCUAAACAAGAAGUUGAUAUUGCUAACGCACCAAAUGAUAGAAACUUGAAAACGGCAAAAGUUUAUUUGGUAGAAGUGACUCAGAUAAGAAACAAAGAAAUAGAUAAAUUCCAACACAAGAGCAUGUCGAUAGCAUGUUAAGGAUUAGCUAAAUCUAAAUCAGAAAUUCACAUAUUUCGAGAAUUUGGUAACUUUUUAAGCUUUGUAGUUACAUACGAUAGAGCCAAAGAAUGUUAAUUUAAUAACCAUGCCAACUAUACGAAAGUUAGUGGCUCUUUCACCUUAAUGUUUGAUAUUAAUAUUAAUCCCUAGAAUCCACCGGAGAGACGAAUUCUACAUAUUUCACUAAACAUUAGCGAAUCAAGGGAUGCUUUUCGAUUAUACGACAUUGAGUAAUAAUAAUCAGAUUGUACAUCGCUUCUCUCCAAUUUCACCGUAGAGCGGCAUUACAAAAAAAAAAAAAAAAAAAAAAGCACAAUGCUCACGAAUUACAAGCAAAAUCUUCUUUUUGUUCAUUAAAGCUUCCCAAAUUGGAGAAACUGUCCUAAUAAUUGAAAAUAUAUAGAAUAAUUAAGGGAUCGAGAUAAAAAAAAAAACCAUACUGGAGGGCUCGGAAGAUGUCUUGGAUCUCCCCGUCGAGCUGCUCCAGCUCCGCGCUCAUCGCUACACCACUCGCCAUUAUCACCCCCAAGGAUCACGAUCCCUCCGCAGACACUGCCCAAUCCGAAGCUCUACACCAUGACCGACGUAGAACACGAAGCUCUCGAUCAACACCGCGCGCUCGAAUCCAUCGUAGAGGAAUCGAUGACGGGAGGGGGAAGAGGAAAAGGGUCGGGAUCCGGAACGGAACCCUAACCCUAGACAACGAGGAGAUCUCGGAGGUGGGGUGAAUGUCCAAACCCCGGCGAAGAGGAUAUCUAGGGCUCUUUUGAGAGACAGGGGAGAGGGAGAGAGAGAGAGGAGAAUAUUUGCAUUUGCAAUCGUUGAAUAAAUACGUGGCGUGAUGGAGAUCGGACGGUUGAUAAAUGAUCGAUAUUUGUCUGAAAUCGUGAGAGGAGGGAGGCGCACGAUAGCGAGGGCAGUCGUUGGGCGGACAGAGUGGGUGUGAGGUGGAAUGUGCUGUCCGCGUCCGGCUUUCGUAUGGUCGACGCCGUGGGCCCACUCGGAGAAAGGACACCGGCACACGCGUUACAGUAUUUGUCCGGCCCAAUAACAUUUUAUACAGAAAAGGACUAAUGGGCGGCCCAACAUCCUUUAAAUGGUUGAGCCAACUUUUUUUUUUUUUUUGAGAGAUAGGUAGCACACUACCGUGCUUCGUUUAUUUCAUUUAGAAAUAAAUUUAGCUAGAAACGUGAAUAAACUAGAAUUCGAACUAAGGUCUCGGAUACCAACCACCAAUUCCUUCGCCACUUGCUCUAGGGACGGUAGGUGGGUUGAACCAACUCUUAUCUGAUCUUAUUUUGGACAGUGCGACAAUUCCUCUUGUGCUUGUUCCCGUUUAUCUUAAGUAGAUUUUUAAGUUGGAGAUGCAAAGUACAAUUCAAACUUGAUUUGAGGUUGAUUAAUUUGAGAAACGAACUGGUACUGAUCCAAAUUAAAAAAGAACAAAGUAAAAUCCGGUAAUUCUACAGAGCUUACACAAUUAGGCACGAGUAGCAAAUUUUUAACUAUGUAGUGCAUGUCUGGAAUACAUGACUCCACGUGACACUUCGUAUUUUACAGGCAAACAUUAACAAAAAAAACUAAAGAAGUCAUGCAUCCUGUACUUCUCUAAGCAUUCAGAGACUUCAGACUUGCAGGUCUAUAGCAUAGGUUCUUUAGUUUUACUUUUUCUUUUCAAUGUCUGAACCUGAUCAUUGAUUCUAAUUUGGAUAUUAUUAUAAGGAUAAUUAUAUAUAAAUAGUAUAAUAUGUUCUGAAUCCCAUCAUUGAUUCUAAUUUGGAUAUUAUUAUAAGGAUAUAUAUAUACAGAACUAGGCUGGAAUACUAUCAAUAAUACUAAGUUAUUUGUGCUAUUAGUAUUUUAGCCCUUAGAUUAAGAAAUGUACGGUUAUGAUGAUAUGGCCCACAUAGGGUUGAGUGGGUGGUUGGCUGAAUAGUAUAAUCUAACGAGUAAAAAUAAUCGAAAGAGUUAAUCUAACGGUAGAAACUUGAUAGCACAAAGUGUUUGGGGUGCGUUUGGUUCGCGCUAUCUUUCAAAGAUUCCUAGUAAUCCAAUAGGAAUAAAAAAAUAUGACGGUGUUUGGCUAAACGCACUAAGUAAUCUAGUUGGUAAUAUUGGAUUCACUUGAGAAUAAGAUUCACCCCAAAGUACUAAUCUCAUUCUCUUGAGGGAGGAUGGCUAUCCUCAUAUUAAUGGAUUUUGGUAAUUAUAAUAUGUCUAAUCUCUUUCUUUCUCCCUACCCGCCGGCUAAUUGAUAUUAUUUUUCUUUACACUCUAAUCUCAUAUCUCUCUCUAAACUUAUCUUUCUCUCUAAAAUUUAACUUUUUUUUUCUCUCUCUAAACUAAGCUUUUCUCUCUCUUUCUAAAAUCUCAACUCUCUUACUCCCUCUAAUUUCGACUCUAUAUCUUUUUCUAUUUUUUUAAUUAUGUUCUCUCUCUCUCUAAAUUAUGCUCUCUCCUUCUUUUUUCUAAAAAGAUGUUGAAACUUUUAAUAGCAUUAUCUAAAAUUAAUUAAAAAAUAAAUAAAUUAAUUGUAUAUUUUUUGUAAUAUUAAAUAACAUGGCUAAAUAAUAUUACCGUACGAACCAAACAUAGGAAUUCCACAUUCUUAGUAAUAGAAUGAAUAGGAAUAAGAUUCUCGGACAUCUUUUCAUUCUUAGUAAUCUUUCAUAAUGCGAACCAAACGCACCCUUGGUGCUAUUGAUAGCAUAGCAGCUGGACUAUAUAUAUAUAUAUAUAUAUAUAUAUAUAUAUAUAAUUGUUUCGGGUUCAAAUUUUUGGAUUCGGGUUCAGAUUCGGGUUUCAGAUUUUUAGUCAGGUUCGGAUUUGGAUACGGAUUUUUAAAAUCUGUCGAGUUCAGAUUUGGGUUCGGAUCUUGGGUUUGGAGUCGGGUUCGGGUUCGGAUUUUUGAAAAUUCGCCCUGAAUCCGACCCGUUGACAUCUCUACACACAAGCUAGUUGAGUGGCUAAAAUUAAUACUAACAGACUGUUUUACCCUUUUGUAAUUUUGAUUUUACUAAAUAUUAUUUAUCAUUUCUAAUUUUGUUUGAUUCGAAAUUUCGUGUAAACUAUCAAUUAUAAAUUUUUUAAAAAAACUUGAAAAAUAAUUUUUAUAAGCAAAAAUCGUGAGUAGGUGGAGGCAUAAUACAUGCAUGCCUAUAGGCUAUAGCAUAGUUAUAGGUGAAGCAUUGGAGUCUCCCUCUCCAUCGUUGGAGAAGAAGUCCAAAAUUUUCAUGGCCUCCCUAAUUUUCUUGGUGUUGAUGAUGUUCACGAGAGUGGUAGGAAUUUUCCCAAAAUUAAUACCGGAAGAAAGGUAAUUAUUAUUAUUAUUUUUUAUUUAAAAUAAACAAAAAUUAAUUUAAUUUGUAAAUAAUUUGAACAGUAUUUUGAGGUUUCGGGUCUAGCAAAAAAGCUAUUAUGCAGACUCCUGUAGCUUAUGAAAAAUAGCUAUUACAGUGAUAGGUAUAAGUAUGGGGAUAAGAAAAAUAGCGUUUGGAUGAAAAUUGGAUUGUUUCCGGAGAUAAGAAAAAUAACGUUUGGAUAGAUAAUAUGGAAUAAAAAAAAUUGGGUUGUUUCCGGACACAAGCCUCGACCCAAAUUACUUGAGGGAAGAGGCAUUGAAUAUAUUAAACAUCUUCCUUAUUUGCACAAAUUCUUCACCAGUAUUGAGGCCAAAGAUUCUGCACCAGUAUUGAGGCAAAAUAUUUGUGAAGAUGCUUGAGGGUAAGAUAAUCGUUCGAGUCUCAUUCUUAUUAUUAUAUACUUAGUUGAAGUUUCUGGAGCAAUAUAUAUGUUUUUGGCAUUUAAGCAUAUAUUGAAUAACAGUUGAAUAACUAACUAAUAUAUCUAUCCAUUCACGGGAUAAAAAACAAUAUUAUUUAUUUUUUAUAUUUGUAAUAUAUUAUAUUACAAAUAUUUAUUACAAAUGUAUAUUUAUAAUAUAUAUUACAAAUAAAUAAUAUAUAUAUAUAUAUAUCAUAAAUGAAUGACAUAUAUUAUCAUAAACAUAAUAUUUAUAUUAAUAUAUUUAUUUAUAUAUCUAUUUAUCUAAUAAAAUAAAGAGAAGAAUAAUUAAAGUUGUUCUUAGUUAUUCUAUGAUACCUUGAAUAGAUAUAUUGUAACACUAAAAGAAGAAAUUACUAAUUGGCGAGAAAAGAAGCAGUAACUUCUAUAAAGAUCAAUUGGAUGCCGUAAGCACAAAAUGUUUUAAUAAAAUAAAUAAAGAUUCCAAAUAAACAUAUGGCCUUCUUUGGACACUUCAUUCUUGAGUUAGUCGUUAUAAUAUAUUUUUUUUACAUCCGAUAAAAGUGUUCUUAUUUUAUAGCAUUUUAUUAUUUUUCUUUGCGGGUUAUAUGUUCUACAACAGUAGGGAAAUCUGAUUAUGUUGGUGGACAUAAACCUUGGCCCAAAAUUCUCGAGGGAAAAUCCCUUGAAUAUGUUAAACGUCUUCUUUAUUUGCAGAAAUUCGUCACCAAUAUUGAGGCUGAAGAUGUCCGAUGUUGUGAAGAUACUUGAGGGUAAGUUGAUCGUUCAAAUCUCAUUCUUGAAAGGAGCAAGGAACAAUGAAGUGGACCCAAGUUAAGAAGAAAGCAUAUCAUUUGAUAACGGAGGACUUCCUGGCUCAGUUAUAAGCAUAUCAUUUGAUCACUACAAAAGCAGGUCACCUUUUUAUAAAAGAUGCAUCACUACCGUCCAUUUUAAAAAAUUUAAGGUCUAAGAUUUAUUUAGUGUAUAGGAGCAUUGCUCUAAUUAUUAACUUAAAGAUUAGGUAAUACACACAUCAUCAUACAUCAUCUGUUAAUUGAGAGGCUUUUAUAUAUAUACACAGCUAGUGCGGUGCUAGUAGCUAGUGUUUUUUUCUUGUGUGUCAUCUUAAUUACGUUGAGUUGUAGUUGCUUUAAUUUUGUAUGUUAUAUUUGCAUGCGUAGAUGAUGGAGUUGGCUUACUUCGGGAUGGAUGUCACAAAAAGGAGCCUCUGUGGAUAGUCUUUGUCAUGUCUGGUACCAUCAACCUUACAUCGACCUUGAUGGUAUCAUCGUUCAAAAUGAUUGAUGGCCGAGGACAGGGCGUCAAAAUUACAGACAAAGGUUUACGAUUGGAAAAGUCCGAACACGUAAUCAUUUGCAACCUACAAUUCGAGGGUGGCGAUAAAGAAAAUGUCGAUGCUAUCCAAAUUAAGUCCAAAUCAACAAACAUUUGGAUAGUUCGCUGGAACUUGCGCAACUAUGCUGACAACCUAAUCGAUGUCAGCCACGAAAGCACCAAUAUUACUAUUUCCAGGUAAUUAAGCAAUUAAAGCCAAUCGAUCGAUGCUUUAAUUAAUAUUCUACUUAAUUAUUUGCAUUAAUAUAAAUAAAUAGUACUUGCUAUAUAUUCUUUCCCGAUUCAUUUAAUGAGUAAGUGUUGUUUUGAAAUGCACGAUAAAACAAUGCUCAUCGGAAGGAGCCCCGACGACAUAGGCGAUCGAUCCAUUGCCGUAACGAUACAUUGUUGCUUUUUCGACUCCACAAUUUAGUGACAUCCACGAGUCAAAUUUGAAAAAGUAUAUCUUUACAACAACUACACUAAAAGCUGGGGCAUUUAUGUUGUCAUGACUUCGUCGAAGCUCAAGUAUAUAUAUGCAAUCUUGAUAUUUCGGUGCUCGCAACGCCCUUUGAAUCUUCCUAUACAUUACAAAUUAAACUACUUCUUAAACUCCUUCCCAGUUUGCGUGUAUAACAGAUCGUGUCUCAGAACAACAUAUAAGAAGCAGGGAAAAAGAAGAUUGUCUUUGAAUAUAAAUUUGAAAAGGUAUUGUACGUACAUACAACGUUUUCCUUUUACUUUUCUUUUUUUUCUUCAAAAAAAGAUAAAGAUAUAAACUUAUAUUUAUAGAAAUUUGAAGUGAUUUUUAUAUAUUUUUGAGGAUCCUCAUACGCCAUACACGAUCAUAAAUAUGUCCUACAAGAGUAAUAAAUAGCUUGGAAUUUUCAAAUAGAUUUUGUUAACUCAAAAACUUCACUUGUUCAGAUGUAGACAUAUAAGCUAUAGCUAUAGGCAUUAACCAUUUUGAGAAAUAACAAUAAAGUUCAUAAAGGAAAAGUAAUAUUUAUUACCGACAAAUAUUUAUUAUCAAUAAAUAUUUAUUGCUGAUUAACUAGUCUGUACUAAUAGCUUUUCUUCAUUUUUAUUAAUAACAAAUAUUUAUUACCGACAAAUAUUAAUAGAAUAAUCCUGAAAAAAAAAUUAAUGAAAAAAAAAUAAAAAGAGCCAUACAUUUUAUACACUAUGUUAACCCUUAGAGUCAAAAGGUGAGAUGACGAUUGUUUUGAAUUGCUAAUUUAAAGACUUCACUUGCUCAGAAGUAGAUAUACCGGAUAUUGCUAUAGGCCUUAACCAUUUUGAGAAAUAACAAUAAAGUUUAUAAAGAAAAAAUAAUAUUUAUUACCAACAAAUAUUUAUUACCGACUAGCUAAGUAAUAUCUCUUCAUCAUUUUUAUUAAUAACAAAUAUUUAUUAUCGACAAAUAUUAAUAGAAUAAUUUUGAAGAAAAAUAAAUCAACAAAAAACUAAAAGAGCCAUGCAUUUUGUACUUGAUUCAAAAUGCGUAUGCUAUAAAUGUUACCUUUAUUCAUCAGAACCUUACUUUUCAGACAAAACCAUAUAAUAGGGCCAACCUCACAAUAAUUAAUGUAAUGAAAAGGAAGAUUCUGAUGAAUAAAGUUAACAUUUAUAGCAGACGCAUUUUGAAUCAUUGUAAUGUGUGUUUGUGGAUAAUUAAUGUGCAAGAUUAGAGACAGUAGAAUCAAGGCACAGUUCAAUGAUUAUAUAUAAUUUUUAUUUAGCCAUUGAUGAUCUAAUAUUCACAUAAAAAUAUAUCAUAGUAAUUAAUUUAUGUAUCGGUGAAAACUUAUGCAUGCAAAUAUCAGAGGCCUAGAGUUGCAAACAGGGUACUUAAGUUUACGACAGAUAAAGGCUGCCACCAACAACUUUGAUCCUACAAACAAGAUAGGUGAAGGAGGUUUUGGUCCCGUACACAAGGUUUAAGUAACAUAAAACUCAUAAAUAUAGUUUUUUCCCUUUAUCUACUGUCCUUUGUUAAUUAUCUGUCUGUUCUUUCAAACUCUUAUAGGCUGACUUAAUAUUAUGUUGUAUAUUUAAUUUUUUUUAAAAAAAUUUCAGGGCGUACUACCAGAUGGAUCUGAAGUUGCCGUAAAGCAACUCUCAUCUAAAUCGAAGCAAGACAGUAGGGAAUUUAUCAAUGAAGUAGGCCUGAUAUCGGCUCUACAACAUCCAAAUCUAGUGAGAUUAUUUGGAUACUCCAUUGAUGGAGACCAAUGGUCUAUGAAUACAUGCAAAACAACAGCUUAGCAAGGGCUUUGUUUGGUUCGUUCUAAACCUAACUAUAAUUCUGAUCCAUAAUUUUAUUAAUCAUUAAUUCAGUACCAUGUUUAUGUUCUUUUUGUUUUAUUGGAAAAAAUAGUUUUGCUAACUAAUAAUUGUUUGAAAAUUUCAGGUGUUGAAAAAGAUAAGCAGUAUUUGGAUUGACGAAUGAGAAGGAAAAUAGGCCUUGGGGUUGCUAGAGGCCUAGUGUACCUUCAUGAAGAGUCACGACUAAAAAUUAUUCAUCGUUACAUCAAAGCGACAAACAUUUUACUUGACAAGGAUCUAACACCAAAGAUAGCCAAUUUUGGUCUAACAAAAUUGGAUGAAGAAGAACAUAGUCGCAUUAGCACGUGCAUUGCAGGAACCAUGUAAGUAAAAUUUCCUUGGUUGUUUAAAAGGCUUAACUAAUGGAUAUGUGAUUAUAAAAAAGUUUUUGAGAGAUAUACUCUUGUAAACAAUGUUAGCCUCGAAAUUAUCGACUAACUGUUUUUUUCAUUGACUUACGAAAUUUGUUCAAAAAGUUCAAUAAAGAAAAUACAUAAAUAAAGAUGAUAUUUAGUACAGUUUUAGUCACCAAUGACAUGGCUAGUGUUCUGUAAAUUUUAUUGAUGAGUCAUUGUAUUAGUGAUCUUUUUUUACAUCUCAUUUUUGACUCGUAGUGUAUUCUUCACUGCUCAUAAGGCUGAAAGCAACUUUGGGUUGCGCUCUUCUUUACUUUUCUGUCCUUUUUUUUUACUCCCUUAGAAUUUAUGCUCUUCAUGUUUAGUUGUUUGAAAACGUUAAAAAAACUAAAAAUUUAGCUACUAUUUUAGGACAGCAUAUGUGAUGCAAGCUUUCAACAAGACAAAACAUUUUAGCUACUGUUUUAGGACUUCAACCUGCACUUCCCUUAUUUUGUUGAUUUCAAUGUAUUCUUUGGUUAUAAUGAAUUGCACAUAAUAAUUUUUUGAUCAUGCAGAGGAUAUAUGGCCCUAGAAUAUACAAUAAGAGGUUAUCUGACCGAAAAGGCUGACGUGUAUAGCUUUGGUGUUGUUAUACAGGAGCUAGUCAGCGGAAAGAGUAACACAUCCUAUCGACAUAAGGAAUACGUAACUCUUAUUGACUGGGUAAGUUUAAAAUUACUAUCUUCAUAUGGUAAAAUAAACAAAAAAUGCAUCAAUAAUGAACCUAAUUGCAUCUUACCAUUCUUCUCCAUAGAUUGCAGGCUCAUGUUCUACAGCAGCAGGGAAACUUGAUUGAGCUAGUGGACGCAAGCCUCGGCUCGGAAUACGCGAGGGAAGAGGCUUUAAUUAUGUUAGACCUCUCCCUUGUCUGCACAAAUUCGUCACCAGUAUUGAGGCCGAAGAUGUCCGAUGCCGUGAAGAUGCUCGAGGGUAGGAUGGUCGUUCAAGUCCCAAUCUUGAAAGGAGCAGAGCACAAUGACGAGGAGCCGAGUCAAGAAGGAGAUAUAUCAUUUAAUGAUAGAUGGACUGAUACUUCUGUGAGAGCGCCUUCCGACCAUAGCGGAGAAAUAGAAGAGAUUCCGCUUGCUGAUCAAGUAGCAGAAACAAUUUAAAUUCCACAGUAAAGUUUGUAUUUUUUUUGUGCUAGUCUUAUUUCAUGUGUAUAUCUGCUAUUAUAUUUUCACUGUCGCCACAGAACUCUGUUAGGAUGUGUUUGUAUUAACCCCUGUUAUCAUGAUGUAAUGUUCCUGGACGAAUAGUAGCAGUAAUCUGGCUAAAACUCUGUUUGGAUGUGUUUGUAUUAACCAACACCUAUUAUCAGGAUGUAAUGUUCUGGACGAGUCUAAGACACCGAUGAUUCUUCAAUGAUUGCAUUCUCUCUGCUUACAACUGUUAUUUUUAGACUCUUCUUAUAUUGUAGUAACAUACGGAAAUAGGCCUCAAUGUGUGAAAACUUGGGGCUACUGGACUGAGCUUGACUUAGUCUCCUUCUCAUUGUGCUAAGAGUUUUGAGUAAUGUUAUGACUAAUCAUGUCCCGUUCAUGUAUUACCUGAUCCAAAAGCGGGACUAUGCAUUGGCGGAUGAGAAAGACAGAGCAUGAAAUGGGGAAGCUGCCGCUGGUGGGAGUCUGCACGGCUGCUGGUCUCAUUCUCAUAGCAAGGGAUCGUGGCACUCCUUAGCCCCUGAUGGCGCCCGCCGCUGCCUGAAGAGUGAAACAGAGAAAAACAAUGAUGGAGCAAUCUCUGGACGUGUUCAUGAUCUUCCUAUCUAUUAAUUAUCCAUGGAUGGGAGCGAGGUCUAAUCGUUGUGUGGUGUACAAACUAUAUAGUAUAUACUGUAGUAGAACGAGAACUGCCUCCCAGUACAAAUUUGUAACAGUUCGUUCUUCUUUGAACAUGAUUAAUUAAUAAGGCGAGUGGUCUGUAUACUACGUAAUGAUGAUUGGUGCACAUGAAAUGUGACCAACAAAUUCAUGUGACCUACGAGGACUCAAAAUUUAGGAAGAUUUCUAUGCCAACUUCCUGAAAAUGUGGCACUAUGGCGGAGUCGCUGGAGGUAAUGUAGACCAAACACCUAUAAAGAUUUUAGUUAAUUCUGAUUAUUAAAAGAAUAUUUUUAUUUAAAUAUUUUUUAAAAAAAUUAAAAAAAUGGAGAAAAUCGUAUUAGAUUUUGUUAAGUUUAAUUUGUCUAUUAAAUGAAAUCUUAAAAUAUAAGUUUACUUGAAAAUUUGAAAGUAUUUUUUUUACAAAGAAAAUUGAUGAAAUUUGAUUUGUAUGUGAAAUUAAUAAAUUUUAGUUAAACUUUAAUUAUCUAAUUUUAGCACGCGCGGGCAAUAAUAUAAUUCUAUAUAUAUAUAUAUAUAUAUAUACUACUUAUAAAAGCGUGAGUUUUGAAAUUUUUUCCUUCCCAAAAAUGUCUCUAUCUUUUUUACUAAUAUUGUCAAGUCCAGUAAAUUUCAACCACUCAUUUUAAAUAAAUCUUUAAAUAAUAAUUUAUUCUUAAAUAUAGAUCUUAAGUUUUCGCCAUUAGAUCUCAUCCAACGAAUAAAAAUAAAAGUAUCUGUCAUUUUUGUUGACCUCCUAUCUACGCCGCGUUUCUCAUAUUUUUUUUUUUCUACCCACCAUACGUAAAACUAAAUUUAUCUCUUAUCUAACGUAAUACCCGUCAAUCAUACAAUACAUUCGCUAAUACCCCAAAUCAAAACUAAAUCGUUAAUUAAAUAUAAUUUUAAAUAUUUUUAACAAAAUAUUCAAUAUUUAAAUAAUGCGUCGUAAAAGCAUAGAAUAUUUUUUAAAAAAAUUAAUACCAGUCCAAUCAAAACAAAAUCCUUAAUUAAAUAUAAUUUUAAAUAUUUUUACCAAAAUAUUCAACACCAAAAUAUUCUCCGUGUUCUCAAAUAUAAAAUAUAUUUUAUCUAUUUUAAAUAAAUCUUCAAAUAAUAAUUUAUUCUCAAAUAUAGAUCUUAAGUUUUCGCCAUUGGAUCUCAUCCAAUGAAUAAAAAUAAAAGUAUCUAUUGACAAAAAUAUCUUUUUUUCAAAUAUUUUUUUCUACACAACAAUCAUGUAAUACGUAAAACUAAAUUUAUCUCUUAUCUAAUGUCCUACCGCCAAUCACGUAAUAUCUCCACUAAUCACGUAAUAUGUAAAAUUAAAUUUAUUACAUAUCCAAACAUUUUUUCAAAUAUUUUUUUUCUCAAACGUAAUACCUACCAAUCUAAGUACCAAAAUUAAAUUUUAAAUUUGUAAUGCCCGCCAAAAUUUAAUACCCGCGAAUUUGAUAAUUUGAAUUUUAAUUUAAAAUAUUUCUCUUUUUAUCAUUUCAUAUGAAUAAAAUUAUUAAGAACUAAUUAUUUGGAUGGAUUGAAGUAUGAAUUGAAUUAGAUUGAUUUUCUAGGACGAGAUAAUGCUAACACACAUUGGCAUGAAAAAAUUAUUAAUAACUAAUUAUUUGGAUGGAUUGAAGCAUGAAUCGAAUUAGAUUCAUACUCUAGAACAAGAUAGUGCUAUAACACACAUUGGCAUUUGGAGAGACACUAUUGUAAACAAUUCAGUUGUUGUAUAAAAAUAGUGCACUUUAAUAUCGAUAAUUAGGAUAAAUGUACUUUUUAAUAUUUUAUUUUUUUUGGUAUUUUAAAUUUAUUUAUCAUGAUCAAUUUAGCAAAAUUUUAUAAGUAAAAUUGUGCUUAAUCCACCUAUUCCAAAAACUCAAGAAAUAAAAUUAAGCUAAAUUUUUUACUUAUAUGAAUUCUUAUUAAAUUUACAUUUUUUUUAAUUUUAUCUAUUCUGAUGAUUUACUAAUAUUUAUUUUAUUAUUUUUUUUACUUACAAUGCAAUUUGUACGGAAGGGGAACUAAUGGUGACAUUUUCAAUUAGUUUAGUGACGAAUUUUGUAUUUUUUUUUAAUGAUACCAUGAUAGAUUUUGUGUUCUUUCUUUUAUGAUAUUGUAAUUCUAUUUUUUAUUUCUAUCAUUUUAUUUUAGUAAUGAUUAAAUAUUAUUUAUCGAAUCUAUAAUAUUUAUUUAUAAAUUUUUUUUUUAGUAUUUGUGUGACGUGUGUUGCACCUGCACUUAACUAGUAUAUAUAUAUAUACGGGUCGAUCCCUCUCUUCUCCAUCCAUAAGCACAAAGAACGCACACGUACGUGCGCACAAAGAAUCUCUCAGUAGCACCCAGCCUUCGUCGACAGCACAAGCUAGCUCUCGCAGAACCUCUCUGUAGCACGCAGCCUCCGUUGGAAGCACAAGCUCUUGCAGAAGUUAGCUCUCUGAAGCACGCGGCCUUCGUCCAGCGAGCAUUACUCGAUCGGCCGGUAAUUUGGUUUAUUUCAUUUCUUUGUUAAUGCUCUUUUUAAUCAGCAAUAAUCUGUUUCUUCUUUUCCUUUUGUCCCGUAUAAUUAACGACCGAAACGACAUUAAUUAAGCAAUACAUGAAUUAGUACUGUGUACUUACACCGUAUACGCUCUCUUUUGUUUUUUUUUUUUUUUCUUUUCCUUUUCAGAUCAGAGUAAUUAAGAUUGUCGACUCCUCCUUAUGCCCCUGCGGACGACGGCUUGCGAGCCCUCGCUGGCCAGGCUGAAGGCUUCGGCCGGAACACCAUCGGAGGACUCCACGGCUCCGUGUAUCACGUUACAACAUUGGCAGGUACAUAUAUAACAUACAUAUAUAUAACACACAAACAUUAAUCUCGAUUAAUUCCUAGCCGCUAGAUCAAUUUGUCCAUAUCUAGCUUGUCCAUAUUAUAUAUACAGCAUUGUUGAUUGGUCUCUAGCUCAUAAUUUUGAUUCUUAAUUAUAAAAAAAAAAGUAGUUCUAUUAAUUAUUAACUAAAGGAUAUAUAAUUAAGUAAUUAAAACGCACACCAUAUAUCUGUUAAUUGAGAGACUUAUAUAUAUAUAUUACACACAGCUAGUUAGCGGUUUUAAUUUCUUGUGCAUCAUCUUAAUUAAUUAUGUUGAUCAGUUGUGGCUGCAGUUUUAAUUUUGUAUGUUAUGUUUGCGUACGUAGAUGAUGGAGUUGGCUCACUUCGGGAAGGAUGUCACAGGAAGGAGCCUCUGUGGAUAGUCUUCGACGUGUCCGGAACCAUCAACCUUACAUCCACCUUGAUGGUAUCGUCGUUCAAAAUGAUCGAUGGCCGAGGACGGGUCGUCAAAAUUACAGAAAAAGGUUUGCGGUUGGAAGGGUCCGAACACGUGAUCAUUUGCAACCUACAAUUCGUGGGCGGCGAAGGAGAAGAAGUUGAUGCUAUCCAAAUUAAGUCCAAAUCGACGAACGUUUGGAUAGAUCGCUGCAGCUUGCACGACUACGCUGACAGCCUGAUCGAUGUCAGCCACGAAAGCACCAAUAUUACUAUUUCCAGGUAAUUAAGCAUGCAAUUAAAGCCGAUCGAUCAAUGGAUGCUUUAAUUAAUAUUCUACUUAAUUAUUUGCAUUCAUAUAAAUAAAUAAAUAGUACUUGAUAUAUAUAUAUUCUUUCCCGCGAUUCAUUUCAUGAGCAGCCGCGAGUCAGAUUUGGAAAAGUUCAUCUUUACAACAACUACACUAAAAACUGGGGCAUUUAUGCUGUCACGCCUUCCGUCGAAGCUCAGGUAUGUAUGUGCAUUAAUCUUGAUAUUUCGGAGCUUGCGACGUCCUUUGAAUCUUCCUAUACAUUACAAAUUAAUUAAACUACUUCUUAAACUCCUUCCUGGCUUUUUUGCCUGUAUUACAGAUCGUGUCUCAGAACAACAUACACGAAGCAGGGAAAAAGAUGGUUGUUUUUGAAUAUAAGUUUGAAAAGGUACAUGCAACUUAAUUUUUCUCUUUUUUUCUUCGAAAUAAAAAAGAUACUAGUGAUUUAUAUAUAUUUCGAGGGAUUUAUAUGCAUCCUCAGACUGCCAUAUGUACACGAUCAUAAAUAUGGCCUGCAAGACUAAUAAAUAGUUUAAUUGAAAUUUUCAAACAGGCAGGAGACAAGAAAGAGCCGGCUUCUGGAUGGAUAAGAUCCGAGGGAGACUUGUUUCUGAACGGUGCCAAACCUGGCCUCAAGAACGGUCGAGGUGUUGAUGCUGUUUUCAAGCCUCAAAGUUACUACAAAAAGUGGACCCUUGAACCGGCAUCUUCAGCUCUCAGGGAGGCGAUAGAGUCGAGUGCCGGAUGGCAGAAUGUUCCGCUGCCUCACGACUCUUCUGUUUGAGCUAGAAUGAUUGAUCUUUCGCGACCUGCAUGCAUGCAUGCGCACUACCUAUAUUUUACUUUUAUUUCAAACUUUAGCAGUUUAGCUAGACUAGUUAGUUUAUCUCGUAAGUUUUAGUUGAGAGUGAGUUAAAUUUGUUUGUUUUUACGCACGCUUGCUGUCUAGAAUUCUAGUUGUUCUUUAAAAUUCGUUUUACUAGCUUUUAGUCUGGUGGUGAUUUUUCUGGCGUAUGUGUUAUUAAUUUCGAUACAAUUUAAAGGUUUUACAAGUUUCAGCCGUCAAAUACAUUCUUCCAAAAUUGCAUGGUUUACUAAUAAUCUAUAGGAAUAGAAAAAAAAAUUAAUCCAUCGGCUAAAGUAUAAGGAGUUCGGUUGUAGUUUUACUAUAUCAACCGACGAAACCAGUCUCGCUUAAUUGCCAAUGACAUUUUUUAGAUCAGAAGCACCGGAUAGUUAUAGUUCGUUGUACUAUCACAAAUUUAUAAGCAGAUGUUUUCUUAAACAUUCACGCCCCCCUAAACACAAUAAAUAAAUAAAUAUUUUUAUUCUCAUUAUAAAGAAAUUAUAUGUAAUUUGUAUAAGUUGCAGGGGGCCCAUGGUUACUGUGAGUAUGGGUGAAAACAUAUCAGAUAUUAUCCAAAAAUAUCUAUAUCCGCAUAGAAAAUAUUCGAAUUCGAUCGGAUAUAAAUACGGAUAUGAAUUUAGAAAGUUAAGUUUUUCCGGAUAUCCAAAAAAAAAAAAUUCAGACACGGNCUCUCUCUCUCUCUCUCUCUCUCUCUCUCUCUCUCUCUCUCUCUCUCUCUCGCCUUACUCAUCUCUCCGCAGUCUAAUCUCUUUAUUUUUGCAAGACAAAGGCGGCUUGCUAUUUGUGGGAAGAUGAAAAUUUUCGAUUAAUUUUUUUUGGAGAGAUAAGGAAAAUAUAAUUACAUUUUGUACAUAUAUAAGAAGAUUGAUUAAUAAUUUAUAUAUUAAAAUUACAUAUUUUAUAUAUAAAAAAUAAAGUGAGAAAAGGAGGUAGGAAAAUAAAGUAAUUUUUUUUUUGUGUUUCUCGUUUAUUUUAUAUUUAUAUGUGUAUAUUAAUGUAUAUUAUUAUCUGAAUAAUAUUUUAAUACAUAUCCGAUCUAUAUUCAAAUCCGAAAAAAUAUUCGACCUUAUGUGAAUUCAUUUUUAACGAAUAUGAUAAUAAAAAUUUAGCAUAAAACAUAUAUUUAUAUCCGAAUCUGUAUCUAAAAAAAAAAUGAAUGCAUAUAUGGUUUCGUCAAAUAUCUAAUUAUAUUCUAUCCGUUUUCACCCCUAACUGUGAGCGUCAUGGAAUCAUCAAAUUGAAUAACAUUGUUGAAUAAACCAGUACACUGAAUUUAAGGUUGUUUUUAAAAUUAUACUGUACUUAUUUUUAUUAAUGAUAUCACUAAUUUUUUUUUUCUUUUUUGUCAAUCUACAGUCUAUUAUUAGCAAGGCUACUAUUUUGGAAAUUAACACCUAUAUUAAAAAGAACAAAUGUUUUUUCUUUUUUUUUUUUCCUACAAAACUAUUAUUUUCAAUUUUUGUUAUUUAGCUGGUCUGCUCGCAGCAUUGUUUUCUGUUUUUAACAUUUAUCUGGAAGCAUCAUCGACGUGCAUUGAGCGUGCGUUGAGGGGUAACAUGCGUGUGACUCACGCACCAUGGACGUCCGUCUCGGGCUACAAAACCCGUCGGGUGGAGCCUGGCGUCCGGGCUACAGAAAAAUUUCACAUUUCACACUAUCUUUGACGGAAAAAUCUACUAUUUAACACUUACAUCAUAUCAAUAAUAAUAAAUUAAAUAUAUUUUUUAUUUUCAAAGAUAAGUAUAAUAAAUAUAUAUUUUUUAUAAUCAUGAGGUUAUGAAUUAAUCUAAAAAAAUUUAUUUGAUUGGUUGAGGAUGUCAUAUUAUAUAUAUAUUUUUUAAGAGAUAGGUAACAUGUUAUCUGUUUCGUUUAUUUUAUUUAGAAAUAAAUUUAGCUAAAAAUGUAAGUCAAUUAGAAUUCGAACUUGGGUCUCGAAUACCAACCACCAAACCCUUUGUCACUUACUCUAGAGACGGUCGGUAGGACGCCAUAUUAUAUUAUUAAUAUAUUUGGUGCAUUUUAAAAUUUUGCUAUUCCUUUGUUUUUCUCUUAUCUAGUUAUAAAAUAGUUUUCAAAAUUAAUGGUAUGGUAUAACAAAAUAAGCUUCUAAAUUUUGUAAUCUAUGAUAUUUAUAUAUAUAUUUUGAAAACAUUCAGAAAACAAAUAAAAUAUAAUACAAUCCGACGUUCUGCACGCAAUAAUUUCUCGGAUUCGAUUAGGAUUUGCUCAAACAGAUCGAGUUGAGGGUCCUACUUUUUAACCACCCGUACCGUGCCAACUCAGCGAUGACGUAUGCUCCGUCUUCUUUGCAUUAUAAAAAAUAAAAAUUUACAUGUGCCGGGGCCGGGCGGCGCACUUUAAGUCUUUAACACCUCCCCACUCACUCUCCCACCCAAAAAGAAAAAAAAAAAGAAAAGAAAAAGAAAACUCAUAUUUUUAAUAAAUUUAAAUAAAUAAUAUUAUAUAUAUGAUAAAGGCUAUUUAUGUAUUUAUUUUUUUUGGUAUAAAAUUUACGCUCUAUUUAUAAGAUGCGACUGGAAAAUAGUUGACCGCGAUGACGGGGGAGAGGAAAAGAGGACGACUCCAAUUAAUUCCAAGCGUCGUCUCCGUCGUCGCUCGCUCUCUACCCUAACGUAACUACGCCUUCCCCAACCGCCUCCGAUCACUUCUACUCACCACCUCGUCAUCCGCCGCCGCCGCCGGCGCCCUGAAACCCCAGAUCCUCUUGUAGCAAGCGAUUCGAUCGCCGAUGAGCGGCGGCGGAGCGGCGGCGGCGGCGGCGGCGGCUGGGGAGGGGCCGUACUCGGAGGCGAAGACGUCGGUGUGGUGGGACAUCGAGAAUUGCCAGGUGCCGAGGGCGUGCGAUCCCCACCUGAUCGCGCAGAAUAUAAGCUCGGCGUUGGCGGCGUUGGGCUACAGGGGCCCCGUCUCCAUCUCCGCCUACGGCGACACCAGCAACAUCUCGCCCGCCGCACAGCACGCCCUCUCCAGCACCGGCAUCGCCCUCAACCACGUCCCCGCGGGUACUAGCGAUGAUCUGAUCCUAUCGCAAAUCCCUAACGCUAAUCCGAUUAUAGAUCUCGAUUCUUUCUUUUUCUUUUUCUUUUUUUUCUGUUGUGUAUUAUGAGAGUUUUCUAUGCAUUCGUGCUUAGUGGGACGCUAUUGGUUUCAAUCGGAUUGAUUUGUCUAUGGAUCUAGUGUUAUGCAGAAAAUUAGGGUUUUUCACGCUCUGUACUGUUUAGUUUUACAGUCUCAUAACAGUGAUUGCGGUUUAUGUUUAGUCAGUUUGCUAUCUUUGUGAAGUAGUAGUGAAGUUUUAGGGUUUUGGAUUACCUUAUCAUUCAUUAUCUUUGUGAAGUAGUAGUGAAGUUUUAGGGUUUUGGAUUAUCUUAUCAUUCGGGAGACUUGUUCUGGGACGUGAAUUAUUUAUCAUUGUCUUUAUAUCUCCGAGUAUACUAUAUCUCUGAGUACAUGGUGUAGUCGGUAUCGAUGCAUUGGGUGUUUUGAAUUUACAUACACUAUUAAGGUUAACUGUGAUCCUGACAUAUGCAGGGUUGAUAUUGCAGUGUGUCUGUUUGGACUUCUUGUAUGAUAUAUCUUGUCCAUGCCUUUGAUGGGUGAUGAAACUUUUGAUUUUCUGAUGCUUUGUUCCAUGAGUGCAUAUCUUGUAGUGAUUGGUUCUCUAACAGGGUUCUUAGGAAAUUACAUAUCAUGAUUUUUUUCCCCCCUUAAAGUUCUACUUCCCCUGAUGAGAUACUUUCCUAAACAAAUGCAGGUAUAAAAGAUGCGAGUGAUAAAAAGAUUCUAGUUGACAUGUUGUUUUGGGCUAUCGACAAUCCUCCUCCUGCGAAUUAUUUGCUCAUUUCUGGUGAUCGGGACUUCUGCAAUGCCCUUCAUAAGCUACGUAUGAGAAGGUAUAAUAUACUCCUCGCUCAACCACCUAAUGUAUCUCAAGUGCUGGUUACCGCUGCAAAGAGCGUGUGGCUGUGGAGGUCCCUUCUUGCUGGCGGACCACCAUUAACAGAGUUGCCAUAUGUUAGUACUGUGUCAAAUGCCAAUGCAUCAGAGGUAAGUUCAUCUAAGACCACUAUACCAGAACCUGGACAGACAAAUCAGACUAUCAACGCUUCUGCUCUUGCCUUGAAUUUGGACAAUCAAAGGAGAAGUGGUAAUGGAAAGAUUGAUAAUCACCAAAGAGGAAAGCAAGUGUGGAAGACUGCACACAAAUAUCAGAAGGAUAUGAAUACACCUAGAACAACAAGUACUGAAUUACAGACGCAGCCAUCUGGAAGUCAAGAAGGUCUUUUUGAUGGAGUUUCUGAAAGUAAUAUUCAGAAACAGUCUUCUGCAGACCUGUCAAAUCAAGUUUCUACAUCUAUGGGCUCAAGUUCGAGAGCACAAGAGAAUGCCAACUCGAACUGCACGGUGAAAAAUCCUUUGUUCCCUGAAUCAUUACCUAAACCUAGUAAGUCACCUGCUAAAUCCGGUUAUUCUCACGAGAAUGAAGAAGCACUUCCUAAGGAAGCGCCUCACAAGUUCUUUGGAGCUAAUAAAUCCAACACAGCACGUCCAAGUUUUCCUCAACCAGAUAAUAGGUAUCCCAUGAACAAUGGGUAUAAGAACCCAAAUUAUCAGCAAACUCAAACUCAGCCAUUAAGACCGAGUGAUCUGCUGGCUUCUCAGCCUAAUACUGCGAAGGGGAGCUUGCAUUUGUCAAAUUCUCACAAAAGCAACCCUCAUCCACCUACAUCAAGGCCUAACGGCCCGCCUCUUAGUUCUCAACAACCCCGAGCAAUCAACCCACCUUUUACUUCAGCUGGAAACCCACCUAAUAGACCUACUUUUCAUCAACACAUUCCGCCUUUUCAAUCAUAUCCAGAGCCGUAUAAUAAUUAUCCUCCAGGCCCUGCAAAUGUCCUGCAUAAUAUGCAACCUCCAUAUUAUGAUUAUAGUCACAGGCCCCCGAUUACACAUCCUAUGCCUGGCAAUGUGCAUAAUCCUGGGUUCUGGGGAUGCCCAGAACCAUCAAGUGAUGUUCAAGGUCUCACAGGGAACAUUUUGCAAGCAUUGAACAUUUUGAGAAAUGAUAAAAUGGCCCCCACAGAAGCUAAUAUUGCAGAUUGCAUUCAUUUUGGGGAGAUGAAUAUUCCACAUUUCAAUGUUAAGAUGGCUCUUGACUAUUCCAUUCAGCAUCAGGUCGUUGUAAUGCACAAAUUAGGAGGCAAUUUGCCAUUUUUUGUGGGGAAAAAUGACUCACUUUGGAAAUGUGUGAAUGUGAUGGAUAGUACCAUUAAGCAUCCGAAGGAGACUUGGGACGCUGUUUCGAGGUUCCUUUCUUCUAGCAAGGGGCAUUCUAUGAUAUUGGCCUCUCAAUGCAUGUAAGGAGUUUUACUAUGUCCGUGGUUUUUUUUUUUUUUAACUGGGUUAAUUACAAGUACCAUUCGCAUGCUUUGACUCCUAUUUCAAUUUCAACCUCUUUAUUUUUCAAUUGCUUCAAUUUGACCUUGCGUGGGUUUUUCAUUCUAGUAAGAUACUGAAUAUUUUUGGGCUAAAUUGAGAUGAUUAAAAUGUGAGGUUGAAAUUGAAGAAAUAAAAACAUCAGGUAGAAAUUUAGAUAAGGAUGAAAGUGCAGGGGUGGUCUUUGUAAUUUAACCAACAAAUGUCCCUAAUACUUAAUCCUAUCUUCUUGUUGUUUUUAGGUAUCAAGCUGCCACUAUACUAAAGAAGAAAUGCCUGAAACAUCUUGUUCUUGGUGAAAUUCUGCAGAUUUUGCAUGCUGCAAUCUCAGUGAAGAGGUGGAUUAUACCUCAUUCGUCUGGUUGGCAGCCAUUGACUCUCCAUGUAGAGGUCGUGGAUUUGAAAGCAGAAUCCAGUAGUAAUAGCACUAAAUGACAAAUCUCCUUGGAUUGAGGGGGAUCUGUGAGGUGAAACAAGUUUGGCUUCAUACUAUUUCACUGAAUUAGGUUCUAUUAUGGUAUAGAAUAAUAUAUAUAUAUAUAUAUAUAUAUAUAUAUAUAUAUAUAUAUAUAUAUAGAUGUGUAGAUAGUGGUUUUGUGGACACUCUGUGUUUCUUUUCUUCUUAAUGGUGAUACAAGAGCUCUUGGGAAUUUCGUUGAAGCAAGGAAGGACAGAACUAUUUAAAGUAUUUUGGAAAUGCAAACUAUUUGAAGUAUGGCUCCUUCCUGGUAGGCUGGGUUUAACAGGAGUAUUUGGACAGUCUGAUUGAAGGUGCUACAAAGAAUUGUUACGUUAAGGGGGACUAUCUUCUUUUGCGGGAGAUGGAAAAGAUACAUUAAAUCAGUCUUAAUUCAGAAUGGUAAUUAUGUUUGGAUCAAAUAUGAGUUGGUUCAGGUUGCUUUGCUCGUCUAUCUCAGAGGAUUAGCUCACUGAAGUUGUUAUUGGUACCCAAUAACUUCUGGUUACUCAUGUGGUAAGCAAGUGAAAGUAGAAGCAGAUGAAAGUUCCUUUAAAGUUAAAUACUUCCAAGUCACAAAUAUGAAAGGGAUGUAUAAGGUCUUAAUUCUCUUACAACAAAACUGUCGUGCUUUUGGUAAUAUAUGCAGAUGACUUAAUGAAGGACCAUUUGAGAUAUUUCUGGUCUAUGCUUCCCAGGAUGAGGAGCAGGUUUAUCAGGAGGAUAAACUAUCUUUAUAUUUCUUAAGCAGCUGUUUGCUAUCAAGUUAUCACUGAAGCUUCUGUUAUUCUACUGCUGCCACGGCAUCGGAAGAAGCUCAGAUUGCCCCAAAAAUGCAUGCCCAAACUUGUUUUUACUUUUUGAUCGUCAUCCCUGUUGACACUUUAGGUUUUUCUAGCUUGGUCUAUGGUCACCAACUGGGUGUGGGUCAUUACUUAUUGUUAUAAUAUGAUUUGGAUCCUCAGGUAACUAGUAGCUAUUUUGUGUCGUUUCCUUUGUUGGAUUUUCUAUUAGAUUUGGUUAAAGGCUUGUUCUCUUUGCAUCUAGCAUGUGUGAAUAGCACUAAUAGUCCCUGAACCUUUAUUUAAGUUUCACUGUGGUUCUUGAACUUAAAAAGUGCUGGGUCUUUCGUCCUUAUUACCACCUAUUGUUGCAGGAAAAAUUAUUGCAUGCACCCGAUGGUGCGUCUGUACAGUAGUGUGCCAUGAAUUUAUUAGUUCUCCAUCCAUCUGGCUCAUAUUUUCAGCCCAAACGGCGGAUUUUAUGUAGUGAAAUCAGUGGGCGAUAAGUAUUGAAAUAUCAGAUGGAAUCAGGAGCUGAUGGAUUGAUGGUACAUUGAUGUAGCACUUGCAAGUGAUAUGUUUUUCUCAAUGAGUAGAUGAGUAUGAUGACUAAAAUAAAAUAUUUCCAAGUCUCUUGGGAUUGUGUUUAUAAAAGUUUUGAGGAUUGAAUUGAAAGUUAACGUUUGGGGACUGAUUGUGCAAUUUACCCAACCUUAUAUUCACCCCUUGUACUUUAACUACUGUUCCACGCCUUGUGUGCGCUAUGUUUGCUGAUUUUUUUUUUUUUUAUUAGAGAUAGGCAGCACGCUAUUCGUUUUAUUUAUUUUAUUUUAUAAAUAAACUUAGCUGAAAAUAUGAAUCAACUAGGAUUUGAACUUGAGACCUCAGAUAUAUCACUAAGCCUUUUGUCAUUUGCUUUAGGGGCGGUCCGUUAUGUUUGCUGAUGUUAGCUCUCAUUUGGGUGGUGUAUUAACUUCUACUGGCCUAAAGAUAUUGCAAUUUCCAUCAUGUCCUUGAGUGAAAUUUCUUCCUCUGGUUUGAUUUUGGUUUUCUGGCUCUGCUGCUGCUGCUCUUUUAAUCAAAUUUUUGUGAUUCGACAAAAUUUGAUGGUUUUACUCGCCUUUUAGAAAACAGAAUUAGAAGAAUUAAUAGCUAACAAUUAUUAUAUUUAAUGAAAAUUUUAACUUUAAUUAAUUUUAAUAAUUUAAAUUAAAAAUAAAAAUUAUGGAGGAGUCAACAACGAAAAGUAGUUUAGGGGCUCAGCCAAAGAGAGAAAUUUCCCGACGGUGAGGAAUAUUACAGCGUUGAAAACUGAAAACUGGAAACUUACUCUUUUAGGUUAAAAAACGAAACAUCCCGAAAAUCGACUUGUCAAAAAUAAGGCGAGUGUCGGACAAAGCCCAUCUGAUCUAGCUCGGCCCAUAAGAAUAUACUUUCUGGGCCCACCAUGUUAGCGCUCGUUGCAAACUACACAGCAUCGCAAUCGCCGGAUCGGGCUCGUAGGCCCAUUUAAAGCGCACGCCUCUCCUGAUUGGGCUGGGCUUUAUCCGACUCCCACCAUAAAGCUUACUUUUAGUCACUCUCGUUAGUACGCGUGUCAGCGUGACAAAUCACCGUUGGUUGCCCCGAAAUAAAAAAUUAAAUAAAAAAUAAAUAAAAGAAUUAGACUAACUAAAAAAUAUAUACUACAUCUUAAUUCAACAUUUGCAAAUUAUAAAUUUCGUCCAAAUCUUAGAUAACAACUUAUUAUUGAUGAGUUAUGAGUUUUCAUUAUCAAAUUGACUCUGAUAAAUGGUAGAUUAAUCACACAAUUCCCUUUCCAACUAAACUUCUCUGUAACCGCACAUGCCGGUCGUUUGGUGUCAUCUCUUCACAAAAGAACACCCAGUAAUAGAGUACAAGAAAAAGAGUAAAGAGGGGAAAAUAAUAGACGUUACUUGCCAAAUGGUAAGUGAGAGUGUGAGACUACAUUAAUACACAUUCCGCUCCAACAGUAGAUUCACAACAUUAGGAUGAUGACCUCUCCACUAUAUCAACUUGCUGCAUGAUUUAGCUACCACUACAAACACGAAAAUGAAAAUGGGUCAUAGACUCAUACUACUGGGUAAAAAAAAAACCCUAUAAGGCUACCUGCUUUGAUCAAUUUUGAAAUAAACUAUAUUUCCUGACUCAAAAAAGAGAAAAGAAAAUUGAAUAACUAUGAGCCAAAUGAUGCAAUCGCAUCCAUCUCCUCUUGCAGAAGAAGCGCAUCAAUGAAAACGUCUAGGCUAUCCCCUUCCAAAACAUCCUCCAUAGAGUGAUGAGUGAUCCCGAUGCGGUGAUCAGUGACUCGACCCUGAGGGAAAUUGUAUGUCCGGAUCCGCUCAGACCUGUCACCGCUUCCAAUCUAUUCAAGUCAUUAGCAUAUCCUGUGGUUGGUCGAAGUAGUAAAUGAAGAAAGAAGAGCAUGCUGCUGCUUACCUGCUCUGAUCUAAGUUUUGAUCUGCUCUUUUGUAGCCUAGACCUCUCCAUUUCAUAUAAUCUUGCGCGUAGCACUUUCAGAGCUUUAGCCUUGUUCUGGAGGGGGAGAAAAAGAUACUCGUAAGAGAAGUCACUUUUACAAUUCAUAUAACCAUCUUAUUCAGUUAAUAUGUAACUUCUUCAAUUAAGAAGCAAAAAACACCAAGCUUUCUAUUCAUGUCAUAUGCACAUACAAGAGGACCAACAUAUGGCAGCAUCAUGAGAGAAAGAAGAGAAUUUGUUUUAAGAUGAAAAGAGAGAAUUGGGGAUAACUACUUACCAUGUGUUGCGACCUUUCAUCUUGUAUAGCAACAGUUAUUCCAGUAGGGAUAUGGGUAAUCCUAACAGCACUGUUGGUGGUGUUGACAGACUGGCCUCCACAACCACCAGAUCUGUAUGUAUCAAUUUUCAGGUCGUCAUUUCGCAAUUGAACAUCAACCUGCAAUGGUUGGUCGGGCAAAAAAAGCAUUUAAUUUGCCAAGUAGUCACAUAAAGCUUGUUUAAAACUUCAUCAAGUAUAGAAAAGAAAGAUUAAUAGUACAGAAGAAUAAAUCAUGCAAAGUGUGUUUGAACUUUGGAAGUGAAUGCCUUCCUAGUAUUUUUAACAUACUAGCCAUGAGCAUAUAAGGGCCUAUCACUGCCAACUAUCAAGGAAAGUAUAUCUGUGCUCACAUUUGAAAUUUAUGGACCUCAAAAAGAAAAAAUUCAGAGAAAACACAAAAUUAAAAAUUGACAAAUAAGAGUAAAUAGCUAUUCACUAUAAUUGCCAACGUAGUCCUAAUAAGUAAAUUUAAAUACCUGACAAGUUUACAAUAGCCAUUAUCAGCACUUUCAGUGGUUUGUGGCAACAUUUGGAGUAUAAGCAUAUCACACUGAAAAGGUGUUUUUUAUUAGUCAACUUCCUAUCAUCUUCCUGAUAUAUGGGGUUAAAAGGCUAAGCAAGCAAACAAAAGUCAAUUGACCAUAGUUUCUAACUGCAUGCAGUGUAAAGACACAAAAGACCAAGAUCAAAACACAAUAAGGGGAAAAAACUAAACAGAACUAUCUGGUUAAAAUAGAGCCAGCACACACGCUAACAAGCGGCAUGGAAUAAAAACAGGAAAAAGCAUCACAUUAAAUUGAAAAAUUGCAUACGGGAAUAUAUCCUACCUCAUCAGCCUGAGGAAGAAUAGCAACAGAUACAGCACUUGUAUGCACCCGUCCCGACUUCUCUGUCACUGGGAUUCGCUGCCAAAUACAAGGACAAAAACUAAUUCAUAAAUAACCUAAACACACAAUAGGAUGCAUAAGAGGAAUCAAUGUAAGUCUUCAUCUCACCUGAACUCUAUGAAUGCCACUCUCAAACUUAAGCCUUCCGUAUGCACCUUGGCCUGAUAUUGUUCCACUAGCUUCCUGUUAUAUUGAUCUUGUUGAAGUGAGCCAAAAAAAAAAAACCAUCUCUCAUUCAACUUUCAUGGAAAAGAAUAUGGCUAUAUAUUCAUUGCUAACAGCCUGUUUAAUAACUUAUGGCAAUAUAUUAAUACAUGCAGACGUGCAUAACUAUCCACGGGCACAAACAGAUAGGGCACCGAGCAUUAAACGGUCCAGUCUGUUCAGAUUCUGCUACUCUAGCAACAACACCAAAAGAAAAAAAAAUGAAGAGUACCUUGUAUCCUUUUAGAUCAGACUCCAUUAUUUGUACAACAUCAAAUUUCCAGCCAUUCUUCUGAGAGUAUUUCUCAUACCUGUAAUUAAAAAUAAUUACCACCAUUCGUUCGAAAAAGUAAUUUUCUACAGACAUCCACAAUCCAGGAAAGAAACAUACAUUUUAAAUACAUCCAUAGCAAAUAAAGAAGCUUCUUCACCUCCAGUUCCUGUUAAAAACCUAGAAUCAAUCUCAAUGACUUCAAAGCCAAGGAAAAAGCAACUAAGGAAAACGAAAGUCACCUUUAGGUUCUCUUGAAUUGACUAAUAUAUAUUUAGAUCAUGUUACCUGCUCUCACCUCCAAUAUACAAUCCUUCUCAUCAGCAUCAUCCUUUGGAAGAAACGACUUAAACAGUAAAUACUGCAGCCUUUUCUCCUCCUCAACAGCUUCGGCCAAUUCCACUGCUGCCAAAUCGCGCAUUUCUUUGUCUUCAUUAGAGUUGGAUAUCAAUGACCUCAGACUGUCAAUCUCCUGCAAAGGAAAAUGCUUCCUCAAGGUCAACAAGGUGAAUGAUGUCAAUCUGAAUAAAUAGUUGACGCUAAUAGAAGGAAACAACGAGAAGUUUAACUAUUGAGGAAAAAAAGAAGCAAAAAACUUUAUGUCGAUUUCAUAUAGUAAUGCAAUACCAAAAGGUCGUGCACAUCACUGGUAAAUUUCACUUACACAGUUUGACAAACAAAAGAGUUAGUGCAUGGGGCAAAAGAUGACUAAAAUCAUAGGAAUUAAUGACAAAAGAAAAUAGAAAGCCCCAAUAAUUCUGCUUAUGUUUAUAAAGUAAGAAAAAUACCGCAGCAAAUACCAACAAUAUACUAAAUAACUAAUAACAAUGUGAUACCCUGAUUGGGAGAAGAAUAAUAUCACAACAUAGUCAUGUUUGAAAAUUAGGCCCUGUUUGGAUGCAGGAAUAUCUUUCUCGGUAUAUCCGCUGAAUUUAUUCAAAAAAUGUGUACAUUUGAUUAAUAAGGAGUAUGAUCAAAUAUUUAGAAUUGAAUACUAUAUUCGGUCUUCAAUCAUUUUAAUCGAUAAGAUAAAUCACUUCAUAGGUGAAAUAUGCUAUCCUACUAAAUUAUAGAUAAUAAAACCUUUGAAGGAGCAAAAAAUCAAACUCUUUAGUUGAGAUCAUACUAAAAAAUACUUAUACAGAAUAAAUUAUCCUUGGAUAACUUAUUCCUGACAUCCAAACUAGGCCUUAAAAGUUUGAGUGCCAAUGUGUUAGGAUCUACCAACAAUUCAUUGUACCUGUUAUAUUUCAAUUAAAAAUGCCAGAAACAAAAGAUAUAUGAUUUGUGAAAGGAAAGAUAUGCUUAUCACCUCCUUCUUAGCUCUCAAUUCGUUAAUCAGCUUCGUAGAGUACACUAGUUUUUGAAGCUCCUUAUUGGCCCUUGAAUAUUCUUCUGCCGAUGCUGCUGGCUGUCUUCACAACAACAUUACAAAUAUGCAGUCAACUCAUUUUACUCAUACAAAACUGUCAGUUCAUAACAUGCAAGUAUAUGAUAGGAGAGACACUUGUAAAAUAGUCAAACAAACAAAAGUUGAUGCACAAUCAUGAGAUAGGAGAGACACUUGUAAAAUAGUCAAACAAACAAAAGUUGAUGCACAAUCAUGAGAUAGGAGAGACACUUGUAAAAUAGUCAAACAAACAAAAGUUGAUACACAAUAAUGAAAAAGUAAACGAUAAUCUCUCAAACAGACUUUUAUGUGAAAUUAUCUCAAUAAGAUAUAGUGAAAUUGGAAUUUUGAAGAAUUUGGGAAACCAAAAAAAAAAGACAAUCUACAAUACUGAUCAACCACAGUAUAUUGUGGGCAAGAAAAUUUUCCUAAUCAAGAUGAUAAGAGUUCGGCAAAAUUUCACACAUUUUUACGAAUUUAAGUUUUACAUAAGUCAUUAUAUUUGUAAAGUUGCAAUAAUGUAAGGAUAAAUUUUGGCAAACAUUUCAUAGCAUGAUAUUGGCUCUAGAAUUCGGAGAAAUUACAAUAGCUAAAGGAAAAGAGGUAGGUUUUGCAGAACAAAUCACAACUUACAGAUAUUGAUUGAAACUUGACAGAUUCAUUAAAAUAAAAAUGACCACGUAAUGGCAAGAUUUUACGAUCUUUUCUGAAAGAAACUCAUAGGCCAUUGUUAAAGAUUCAUAUAUUACGGAUUACACAAGCCAUGUAUCAGGUCAACUUUAACCAUGUUUUCCACAUCUAGCAACUGUGUAGCCUAUGUUCCUCAACUUUUUGUGUUUAAGAUGAUUAAACAAAUACAUUAAUCAAUAAUAUAGGUAAAAUUAACGAAAGCGAGUCUGUUUAUUUACCUCUUCUUCCUUAACACAUCAUAGUAUAAUAGAUGAUUCUCUGGCAAUUUUGUAGUGAGAAAAAUUAAGUUACCUGAUUAAUUUGCUCCUGAAGGUGCGCGCUUCUCUGUUCGAUAGAAAUCAUUCUUUGCUCCAUGAUUUUAAGAAGGUUAGCAGGAAGUUGCGGAUGCAGUUCUGGAGAUACAAAGGGUUCAGAGAAUAGUCACGUUGAUUGAAUCGGCACAAGUUAAGAUGCAUAAAAGCCAGUAUACUACAGGAACUCGUACGAAAAUUUGAUUUUUCGAAAGAUAAGAACACUACACCAAGAUGAAAAGGGGAAUACAACAUACAUAUUGGUUAAAUCACGUUAAAAAUGAGCAUACAUACAAUUACAAAAGCAAAAGCGAUUGGAUCUUCGUUAGAAUGAACAAAAGCAUACCAGUGGAGUAUAAUCGCGGAGGCGAAUGAGAGGCCACCGAGAUCGAACGCAUUAAUGGCUCCCUGUAGGGAAUUGAGACCGGAGAACAUGGAGAAUCGAAGGAUCGAAAUCUAUGGAGCUCGCGAAGCAAGCUUCGUCCCCACCGAAACCCUAGAUACCUCAUCGCCGUCGCAGCUCGUAGUACUACUCUCUCUGUGACUCCCCCACCCCCCGGCCCCCACCCAAUACGAAGAAAAGAGAAGGAUCCGCGAUGGGUUCGAAUUGCAUGGGCCGGAUUAUGUGGCAGAUGAUCGCGCUCAGAAGUUCAGUUUCCGGGCCCCAUAGUACAUGGGCCGGGCAAUCGAAACCAUGAUCGGGCUUAGAAUUUCAGUUUCCGGCUCAAUACGGACCAAAUAAGGUUGAGAGAGUCUGAUUUUCCAGCCCAAAAUGAUGGGCCUUAGCCCAAUGAGGUCCAGCACGUAAUGAAUAUCCGUUGAGGAUUGCACAGGAAAGCUACAUAAAAUUUAAAAAUUCUUUUGUUUUUUAGUAAACCGAAACAUGAAGCAGUAAAAAAAACAAAAAAAAACAUCCAAACUAGUCGGAAUUCAGCUGCCACUUUUCUUAAAAAGAGAAAACUAAACAGCUGUUUUUUCUUUUUAUUAGAAUAUUCAGACAGCUCCGUAGAGUUGCCUGUUUUGGUGAUUUUUCAUUGUCAAAUAGCUGGCUUCUACGAUCUUGAGUAAAGCAACUACCCUUUAUUGCAGAUUGAAUAUGAUACUUAAAAAUCUCUUAGCAAAAAGCAUUUGAUAUUCCAGAAUGAUAAGAUAAGGGAAAAGGAUAAGCCAUCCUGUAGUGCAGACUACAUACAACAGUGCAUUUCUAGUUAGACACAGACAAUAGGUAAAAAAGGUGAAGGACUGAAAUUCUACAUGGAAUAUCUAAGUAAUUAAAAAAAUUUACUUAAUGGGCAUUACAAGGUACAAACGGACGCUACAAGAUACAAACCGCCGCUGCAAAUGUUAGGUUACAUGCCCUAAUAGCCGGAAGCUAACCACAAAUAACAAGAUUUAAUUACCAUAUCCAUUGCUCCAAAAUCAAAAUCUACAAGAAUUACAAGAAAUUAUAUACAAUUAGAAAGGUGAGCAUACUCUUCAUGUAAAUACAUUUGCAGGGUUUAGCUGACAGAUAGCUUAUCACCCAACUCCUUGCGAUAAACUUGAAUGAGACCAGCACUGUCAAUUGUCUCGAGCUUCUCCACCAACAUGGUUCUGUAGUGUUCAUCUUUAUCCUCUAAAUUUCUCAUCAUUUGAACCUAAUACAUCAAUAAGUGUUGUAAGUUUAGAGUUGGAAAUCUACAAAUUUAUCCCAUGGUUCUAAUAGGCAUCAGAUGCCAUUCUAACAACUUUAAAAAGAGAAACUGUUUAUGCAGACACUGAAACAUGACAUUUUCAUAUGUCGGAAUGGUUCCAUAAUUAAAAGGAAGAAGUAAUUGGCUUGACUAGUCGUACUAUGCGAACAAUCAACUUGGCCAGUUAAAAUGCAGCACACUUCGCCUCAAUAUAGGGCUCUCUCCAUUUUAUUGUAUUUUCUAAAUAAACCAAAUGUUUUGUGCUGCAUUUUGAUUGGCCAUGCUCUACUUCAUGUUGGUCCAGGCAAAUCAUUUCUCACUGCCACGAGCUCAAAUUCUAAAACAGAUGAUUUCUCUCUGGUUUGCUUUCAUCAGGCAACUUAGGCUUUUAUUAUUUCAACAUGGGCAUCAAAUACAAGGAUGCGUGUGUUUCAGAGAUCAUGCCAUUAGUAAUUCACAUGCACAUCAUAGCACCAUUUGAUUCUCCAAAAAUCCUAAUUGAGUAGGGCUGUUUUGAAGAAACACUAACAGCUUUUCCAUUUAAACCCUCCGGAUAUCUUUCAGCAGAACAAAAGCUUCAGAAAUCAAAGCUUCUGCUUUGAUAUUCCAGAAGCUAAAUUUCAGCUCAUUCCUUUUGGGUUCUGCUGCUGUGCUUUGAAGUAGGGCAGUUGAAGAAGCAAGAACAGAUUUUUUGUUAAAAAUUCAUCGAAAACAGUUUUCAACUACAGAAAAAGCAAAGCUUCAAACUGAAGCUUCUGCUUUUGGGGGGUCUAGAAGCUCAUCUCAGCCUACCCUCUAAAGCAAAAGGUCUAGCCCAUUUAUUAAUCAAUUACCUUGCAGCUGCUUUAGACAAGUUGAAUAACCAUAUACUUGUAACUCGGUAUGUUGAAGCUUACCUGUCUCUGAAACAAAUCAAACUCUUCAGAGCUCAAAGAGCCGUCGCUAUUUUCAUCAAGAAGAUGCAUAAGUUCCUUUGCAUCUUCACCUCCAGCUCCAAGCUCUUCCAUGACUUCAGUGAGCUCUUCAAUACUGAUCCUCCCAUCACCAUUCUUAUCAAGAAGGCAGAAGACUCGGUUUCUGCAGUCGAUCUCUGCUCCUGUAUUAUUGCCAGGUGGUAGAUCUCUAAGGCGUAGAGCAGCUACUUCAGCCGCAGCCAUCAUAAUUGCCUUCAAUCUUUUUGCCUGAACCAAAAGAAAAUUUUGAGAACUGAUUUCUUAGCAAAGUUGCAUUGUAAGAGUUUUUGAAGAUAAGCUCAAUUCUAGUCUUGGUUUGCUUGCAAAACAGACCAAUGUGGCCUAGGAAAACCCAGAAUUCAUCCUUCAAAUUAGUUAACUGUCUUUGUUCUGGCUAGCACGGAAAUUAAAUUGACAGACAGGACUUACAAACAUGCAUUCAUCUCAGUAGAUGCUAAAUAAAAUCAUCCAUUGGCAAGUAACUGAUCAAAAUCAUUAGUUUCUUGUUCAAUAAAAAGAAUUUUUAAAAAAAGUAAAAGAAAGGUGACAAGAUGAAGCACUUCUCACCUCUCCUGGAUCAGUAAGGCCACCUUUGUAGAGAGAAUGAGAAGCAGCUCCACCAGCAGCCAACAUAUCCAUCUCAGUAGUACGUAUCUGAAUCUCCAUCAAAGGUCUCAUUUUUCCUUCUUCACUAACAUCGACUGCCACAUGUAAGCUUCUAUACCCAUUCGUUUUGGGUCUUGCAAUAUAAUCCUUUGUCCUAUCAGGUACUUCUUUCCACACAUUUUGGAUAACUUCAUAGGCCCUAUAGCAAGCCCUAUUUCCCCAUUUGUGCAUGUCCUCACCACAUUUAGGGUUUAAAAUUACCCGUAAACCUAGUAGAUCAUUUACUUCUUCUGGCUUUCGACCAUCCUUCAGUAGCUUCUUCAUUGUGCUGAAACGGCUUUUAAACCGACCUUUAACAGAGAUAUCACCCACCAACUUGUUCAAUUCUUCAUCUGCCUUUAGCAAAUCAAGAAGCUGCUUUCUGUAAAUGUCUAUUAAGGGCUCAUUUUCUGUUUCAUGGUUUCUCAGCCAAGUAUCGAGGUAAAGGUAUGAGAAGGGGAAUAAGUAACGAAAGGAAAGAUCCUCCAUUUCUAGUGAUAAGGUUCCGACUCCCACAGCAUAAGCAAGAGGGGCAUAUAUUUUCAUGACCUCAAGAGAAACUGUUUGUUGGUAGUACUUUGGAAAGUAGUCAAGAUGCCUCAUUGUGUCGAGUUUUAGGGUGAGCUGUAUGAUAACAGCUCGAAUAUCGUAGUAAGUUAGACAAUACCUUCUUAGUGCAGUAGCAUUUUCAUCAUCUAGGAUUUCAAACUUUGAAGGAACGUGUUUCAUUCGCAAGCUCUCGUGCAAUAAAUGAGCGGUGCCUGUUCCAAUCUGGCUUUUCACUUCGUGCAUGGUUAGAGCGCCUGCUUCUAAGGCUUCUCUCAGUACACCGGCUGAAAUAACUUCAGCAUCCAUCUGCAGAUAUGCUUAGUUUGAUCAUUCAAAAGGCACCGAGAAGACAAAGUUGAGUAAAUUCAUGAUCUCUCACACCUUGAACACUUCAAUUUAUAAUUACUUGAUAGAGAAAGGAUAUGAAUACUUCACAUGAAUUGAAACGGUGAACAAACCACUGAUUAUAAAUAGACUCCUACACCAACAACGAGGUGAAUCAAAAAAUACUCGCUGAUCAGCUACCAAAGAACCAAAGAUUCUACAAGCAUUUUAAUCCAUUGUAUUCGCCAAAUAUGUUCUAAUCAGAUACAUAAACUGUGUCACUAGUUUCCACUUCGACCUAUCAACUUUAGUUCUGAUGAUAAGGACACAGUAAUUGGAUCCCAAUUUCAACCCAAAACAAUAAUAUUGCACUAUAAACAACAUCAAAUUUGUGUAAUUCUUCGUGAUAAAUCCAAAAUUAAUAAGAAUACCUGGAGAUCUGCGAGGAGUAAAGCGACCGACAAUGCCCUAGAGAGCCGAGAUCGGCCAUCGAGAGCCAAGGGCAUGGCCUGUAGAAGCGGAAUCGAUAGCUUCAGAGACUUGAAUAGGAGUUGGGAGGAAGACGAAUUGGAAAGCGAACCCAUCCUCUCCGUGAGCUCAUUGAAGGCCCCGACCAACUCCGCCACCAUCCUACCCCCUCUCUGCUCGAUCCCCGUCGCCAUUGGCGAGCUCAAAGGAGGAGUGGAAGAAGAGUGGGUAGUGGGAGUGGUAGUAGCGAGAGGGCGAAGUGGCGGUGACGGGAUCUUGGGGCUGAGGUUACCGCUGCGGGAGGAGGUGGGGGAGGAUUUGGAGUUGAGGAUGGGGCGGAGGAGGAGGAGGAGGUGGCGGUGGUGGUGGUGGGGGGCGGUGGCCAUGGCGGUGGUGGCGGAGUGGGUGGAGAAGGAGAUGCAGUAGUGGUACUGUUUUGCACUUUUACUUGCUACUCGGAAGGAGAGGCCUUUGAUUGGUCGGUUUGUUUGAAGUGUUGGUCGGCUGUGGAUUUGCCACGUCAUUCUGCGUGAUUGAUUAUGUGGCUCGCUGAGCUUAAAUAUAUAAUAUAAUAUUAUUUGUUAUCAAAAAAAAAUUAUUAAAUUGUAAUUUCGAUGUCUUUUUUUUAGUCCUCUUAAUUGAUUGUAAACAUAUUAUUCGCCCUUGUUGAGUAUUAUAAAAUUAGUUAAUAACGAAAAUAUUUUUGAUUUAAUUUACUUUUCUCAUUUUCCCUACAAGCAUUUUUACAUAAUAAUUUGUAUUGUAUUUUUUUUCUUGUCUAUUCAAUCCUUAUUUUAAUCACCACAUUUGCCACCUCCUAGUUGUAAUCGUUUAGUAAAAUUUGAUAACUAAAGAAAGGAUGAGAAUGAAUAGAAAAAUAUUUGGACAAUAGGAUGGGAAACAUUUGAAAAUUUAAUAUUUUUGCCAAUUCUUAUGUUAUAUACUCCAGUAAUUAAUUUGUUAUAGAAGAAAAAUAAUAUAAGAAGUGUGUUUAGUGUAUAUAGUAAUAUUUUUCAAAAAGCUACACAUACUAAGCUUUUAUUUUUUUUUGGCAAUAGUUUUUAUGCUUGCAUUUUUUAAAUAUUGUUUUGUUGGAAAACUCUUUUCAGUUUUUUGAGGUUAAAACUUUCAAAAUAUAUAAGCAUAUUUUAUUAUAAAAAUAGUAUAAACUAAAGUUGCUCGGUCAAAUGAAUGGCAACAGCUCAUAUUGCUAUGGCACCACAUAUCAACUCAAUAAUGCCACCACCUUUCUCUCAAAAAAACUUGGUGUCACCACCAUUUGAUUUCUUAAAACCACCUUAUAAUUGCGAUCAUCACCUUCUCUUUAUUUUUUUUCUUUCACAUAUAGAAACCAUCAUAAAGCUAUGAUUUCUUACAACGUCAUUAACCAUCAUUUUGAUUGGUAAUUUUUUUAUAGUGUUUCAUUAAACACCCUAUGGCAUUAGAAACUAAUAGUUUUUUUAUUGUUUUGACAUAUGAUAAAAUGCUAUAUUUUCAAUUGCCAUAUUCUUUGCUAGCAGUAUGGACACGAAGGAUGCUGCGACCCUCAUUUCUUCUCAUUAUCUCCUAUGCAUUAUUUUUUUUCUUUUGAGAGAUAGGUAGCACGUCAUCCGUUUCAUUUAUUUCAUUUAUAAAUAAACUUAGCUAUAAAUGUGAAUCAACUAGAAUUCAAACUUGGAACCUCGAGUACCAAUCCCAAGCCUUUUGCCACUUGCUUUAGGAACGGUCGGUAUCUCCUAUGCGUUAUUGGCCGAGAAAAAUAUGUUUUUUAACAAAUAUUUUCAGAGAAAAACCAUCAAAAUAAUUAACUAAAACUUUAAAAUUAAUUGAAAAAAUUAUAAAUUAAAUUUUUUUUUGUAAAAAAAAUGCUAAAAUAAAAUAUUUGGGCUUUGUCCUGGGAUCUAUGUAGAGUUCAGCAGCAGCUGAAAAUUUGAGCCGAAUCCGAUCAUUAAAUUCCUGGUCGGACUCGAGCUCGAUCUCGAGUCGCCGACCGUGCAAUGUUACAUAAGGUCUGUCGGUAAGGCUCGGUGGCUUCUACGUAAGUGGACCACAUGCAACUCCACCUGCAGCAACGUUCGAGUCCAUCCCCGCGACGCAGUAGCGUUGGGUCGAGUCGCGACUCGCGACUCGCGAACCCAUUCCCUCGUUUCUCUGCAACACCACCCCAACUCCAUUCGCUUCGAACGCCAUCGGAAUUCGGAAGUCGUAGUCCCUCCUCGCGCUUCGCCUUUCGAUCCCAAACCCCCCGCCCCCUCUCCCUCUCUCUCCCCGAUCUCGCGCGCGCCACCCCUCGCGGCGGCGUUCCCCCUCUCUCCGGCGACCUCCGCCGCCGCAUCGUUACCCCACGGUACCCCUCUUCCGCCUAUCUCCUCCUCCCUCUCCACCAUCUCGUCCAAACCCUAACCCUAGCUCGAGCCCUGUCCCCUGUUGGCACUCGUAUUAGUGUUUGUUUUGCUUCGGUUCGAAUACUAAUCGUGAUAUCCGGAGUCUGGGAUGUUAAUUCACGUUUGGAGCGUUCGCGAACUCGCGUGUUAGGCUCGGGGGUGCUGUUAAUUGGAGUGAAGCUGGGAUAUUGUGAGGAUAUUGGGCAAUUGUUGGAGAUAGACGUUGUUUACUGAUGUGUUUAACGCAUGAUCGACUUAUAAGUGCGUAGAGAGUGCGGGGAAGAGGGUUUUUGAGAGGUAAUUCCACUGAGGCAGUGCUUUAUGGUGAAUUUGGGCUGCAUUGGCUUUUCUCUCGCUCUCACAGGGAUCUAUAGUUAUUGAUUUCGAGUUAUUGGCAGGUUGUAAAUCUAUCUAUCAUGUAUGAAUUGUCACGAGUGAGUUGUCAAAUUUAUACGGUCGCAAGUGUUAUUUCUAACUCAACUACUUGACAUUGCUCACUGCUUCGUGUUCCGUUAUGGAAUCGGUUUAGAAAAAUACUGUUAGCGCUCUUUCUUUAAGGUCGGUUGACAAUAUUUUUGUUAUGAAACAAGGAAUGCCUUGCUGUCUUAUACUGCAAAUGUGACUCUUUUUGUUGCUCUAUUUUGGUAUCAACUUUCAAUACAGAAAAUAGAAAACAAUCAGAAAUAAAUAUUUAUAAACUUCACUGCAGUCGCUCUCUUCUCCUGUCUGCACGUCCUUACUGAUAAUCUUGUUGCACCAUUAAUGGUGGUAAUGGAAAUACAAAAGCUGCAUGUGACUGAGUGAAGUAUCGUCCAUAGCUUUAGCCAUCAUUGCUCGAUUAGUUUUUCUACGUCUUGAAAUCUCGGUUUCUGUUGGCCUGCCAUUCCUGAUUAACAUUUUACCUUUAUUGCAAGUUGGAGAGGGGUAAAACAGUUACACAUGGGCGUGGCCCUGGUUUUUCUUUGUUAGUAAAUGCUGAAGUGGACCCGAUGGGAGGCAUUUUCGAUUGCGGGAUUGGUGUGGACACCAAAACUUCACCACGCCGUGCAGCAAUUGAAAAGGCCCAAGCAGAGUUGAGGUAUGCCAAGAAUCGUAGUGCGACCCAUCAUAGAUAUCUACUGCAAAUAUCUGAUGUCUUUGUAAUAUAUGAAUGACAGGCAAGAAUAUGAUGUACGCGAAGAACGACGGAGGGAGUUGGAAUUUCUUGAGAAAGUAUUAAGCAUAUGGAUCUUUUUUUGGCUUUAGCAAUCUGCUUUCUUUUCUUGAAAGAACUCUUAUAUUCUCAUUUACUCUUAACUUUUCUAGGGAGGCAACCCAUUGGAUUUUAAAUUUGGUCAUGUAGCAUCACUUAGUGUACAGUCAACCUCUGUAACGGAUCAACUGGCCGAGCAAAAUGCAAUAAGGUUUAUAAUUGUUUUUUCAAGCACUCGUAGCUUAGCAAUACCAUCAGUGAUAAAGCUGUUACUGAUAAAGCUGUUAUCUUUUCUUUUUUUUGGCAUUGUUAUUCUAAUUGCAGCGAAGCAAAAGGUAGCUUUGCAUUGGCAGCUUCUCCCCAUGGGGAUUCUGUUGAAAGCAGUGGCAGGCCUGGAAGUUCAAUGGGUCGGGAACCUAACAUUGCUGACAAUCUAUUGCUUUUGGAUGGAGAUAAUAGCAAUCGUGGUGGGGAGAAAAAUGUCAACAAGCGUAGUGGUAAAAGAAGUAAUCUUGCUUUACUAGAGCAAUCUUCACAAAUUGAUGGCGGACAUAAUGCAAAAGAAUCUGAAGACUCUCCUAUUUUCCGGCUUGGGGUAAAGAGUCAAGCAUAUGCUCGAAGGAACAGGUCAAGAUCGAGCAGAGAUAAUGUUGCAGCUGGGAAUAGAUUUUCAGUUAUACCUUCUAGUCGUCAUGAUUUGAAAGUAAAUGCAGAAGAAAAUGCCGUCUCUUCCAUUUCCAACUCAAAACCAGCUAGUCCAAAUGGUAAUGAUGUAACAAAUAGAGAGCUAAAUGGGGAGCAAAUUGGUCAUGACGUUAGUGUUUCGGUAAAAGAAGGAUCCUCCAGGCCAGCGACAGAAGUCAAAACUUCUGAAGCCAAUAAUGAAGAGUCAUGUGGAGUUGCCGAGGCAGUUAAUAAUGCUACAGCUUCUCAAAUAGUCAAUGUGAUUGGAAAAGAAGAAGCAAUUUCAAUUGGGCUUCAUUCUAUCCCUAAUGAAUGUGCUGAAGAAAUGAAGGAUGCUGCAACCGUUGAAAAGAUCAGUUACUCUAAGAUGGACUUGGAUGGCAAUGAUCUGGGUAGUAGAAGUGGUAAACCUGAGGUUACGAAUGAAGCAAAAAGCGUAGAUAACAGAGAAAUAGAUCCUUUUUGUACCAACAAGGCCGGUAGCAUUGAUGUAAAUGAUGAUGGUGAACAUCCAACAUUAGGAAAGAUGCCUACUACUAUGAUUAACAAUAUUUCAAAUGAGAAUGGUUGCUUGAUAAAUGCUGAUGCUCCAGAUAAUAGUAUACAUGAAAAAGUUGGUGACAUGGAGGUCUGUGAUGGUAGAACUGAAGUGCAAAAUGAGAGACAGCUAGUCUUUGAUGAUUGUGAGAAGACAGAUAAUGGAGCUAUAUUAAAACCUGAAGAGAAACCAGAACACUCUACAGGUGCUUGCAGUUUUACUAAGAAGUCUGACGUAGUUCACGGCACCUUAGUUUCUGCCAGAAGUGAUGUGCCCCCUGCUGUUCCUUCAGUGCGAAAUCUAAUAUCUACACCUGAGCUUCAGAAUUCUGGAGCUAACCACUUAAAGACGGCACAGAAAGAGCAUGAGGAUGCUAUUCUUAGAAAGGCUCGGACUAUAGAGGUAAUAAUUUGUUUAUUGUUUUGUGCACUGGAUAUUCGUUUAGCAAAAAGAGACCCUGACAGUUUUACUGAUUAGGCAAACCGCAAGAGGGCUGGCGAGCUGUCCUGUAAUAUUUCUUUAGAUAAGCGACAAAAGUGUCAUUGGGAUUUUGUCCUGGAGGAGAUGGCAUGGAUGGCAAAUGAUUUCAUGCAGGUUUUUUCUUGACAAAGUCUACCAGCUGAAUAUUCUACUUGCAUUUGAUUUAGUGAAUAUGUAUCUGCAAUAUUAAUUUUAGUGCGAACUUUUCUCUAAGUGUUUGAGUUUGGUUUUUUGUAGUUAUUUUAUCACUUAUGCCACAACAGAGUUAUUCUUAUGUAAUUUUUUAAUAACUAUUUGUGUGUUUGUUAUUUUGUAGGAGCGAUUGUGGAAAAAUGCAGCUGCAGUCCAGCUCUGUCGGUGGAUUGCUUCUAGUGGUCGAGCAAAAUUUGAACAAGCGAACCUUCAGCGGAAGCAGAAAACUGUUGCUAGAUUUUUAGCCAAGGCUAUUGUGCAAUUUUGGCAUUCAUCUGAGGCUUUAUGGACUACUAGUGGAGGACCUAAUAAAUUGCAUGAGAGCAGCCUGGAUAUGUUAAAAGGGAAGCUCAUUGAAGCUAAAGCUGAAAAAGAACAGGUCAGAUAAUUGAUAACUGAAUUCUCUUUUUGAUUGCCAGUUUGAAUUGUUGUACAUACUUUCUUUAUCAUUAUCAUUUAUUAUCAUAGACGCCUUUCUUGCCAGAGAAUUUUUCUCCAAUUUUCUGGUCCAUUCUGCACCUCAAAAUAUUUGUAUACAUGCCUAAUUUUUGUUUUCACCAACAUCAUGGAAUUCUUAUUUUCAAUGCUGCUAGAAUGUACUUGAGCCUGUGAGAAUAUAUGAAAAAACGACAUGUUCUAUCUAUUCCUGCAGGAUAGCAUGUAUAAUGAAGUAGAAAAGUCUGGGCCGGUUUCCCGCCUUGCUAUUCACGAUUAUGCAGUUCGGUUCUUGGAGUAUAACAGUACAAUAUCUGAUUGUUCUGUCUUAGCUGAAGCACCUACCACUCCUGAUAGGCUAUAUGAUGUGGGCAUUUUGGAAGUAUCAGAUCAACUUUCAGAAGUAUGGAUAAUUUUUUUCUAUUUAUUUGAAUGAAACCAUUGUUCCUUUAUAUAUGUUCAUUUAUGUUGUUGUUGGUGGCCAUGUUGGAAUUCAUUACCAAGUUCUUUCAUUUGUUUUUCUUUCUUCGGAGCAAAAGAACAUCUGUUUAAUUUGAUUUCCUGCUAUCAUUUUCACCAUAUUAUGCUUUUUCUUUAGGAAAGUCUCUUCUAUGCGGUCACUCCUGGUGCAAUGCAGGCUUACAGAGAAUCUGUGGAGUCUCAAUGGGUACAUUAUAAGGUAUCAACAGUCUUGCAUCUGUACCAACACCUCGAGGAUCAAAAAGAGAUUUGAUAAUUAGUAGUUUUGCUUGAUUGGCCUUAUAGUGAAAAUAGUAAGCCCAAGAAAAUAAAAAUAAGAAGAAAUAUACACCAAAAUAUAACAAUUCAAGAUCAACUACGUUACUCUUUGAUAUUUUCAGUUAUGGUAAUUUAAAAGUUUUGCAUGGAAACUUAGUAACCUGUAUACAACCCUAUGCCUUGUCAAGAAGUCAUGCUUUUCCUUUGUUAAGCCCUUUGAAACGAUUAACUAGUCCAUAUGAUUGCUUUCAUCUUAUUUUUACUCUCCUUUUGUAAUUAUGUGGAUAUGCUGUCCUAUCUGAAGUCUUUGUUUGGUGUUGAUCUUAUAUACCAUGCCCUCUUAUGUAGAGAAUCAAUCGUUUACUUCCAUUGUUACAGAAGUCAGGUAACGUGCAGCAUCAAGAGGACCGGGCUAUGUCCAUGUGUGAUUAUGGUGCAGGUACUUUAGCAGAUAUCAUAUACUCAACUUUCCACUUCUUUAUUUAGCUUGAGAAAACUAAUUCCAACAUAUUUGUUCAGAUGGGGCCCGUGAAAAUGCAUAUGAAGAGGAUGGAGGAGAAAUGUGUGCAAUUUUGUUGCCUGGAACAUGUGAAGGUGGUUUUUCAUCAAAAUUUGUUAAUAAAAAGAGAAAAAACAUGCAACAGAACUCAUAUUCUACAAGAAUAUACGGGGCAGGCACCGACCCAUCUUAUGAUUCUCAGCCUUUAUUAAAUGGUAAAAGGCCUUCAAAUUCCCUUAAUGUGGGCCAUAUUCCAACGAAACGGGUAAGGACGGCUAUUAGAACACGGCUUGUUAGUCCUUUCACUGCAGGACCGGCUGGCAGUGUGCAUGUAAAUAGUAAAACUGAUGUUUCUAGUGGGGACACAAAUUCGUACCAAGAUGACCAGAGUUCGCUGCAGGGGGGAUCUUUGCUUAAGAAAAACAUGGAAGUUGAAUCGACAGUCGAUUUUGAGAGGCAGAUGCCAUAUGAAUGUGUUGAUGCAUCUACAAAAUCUAAAAAGAAGAAGAAAUCUAAGCAUUCAGGAUACAAAACUGUGUUGAAUUUGACUGAUUCUUGUGUUUCAAUGGUGUCAGAAAAGGUAUACUUCUGUCUCUACAGCAUCUUUUUGCUACUUAUUUUCCGAUCAGAUAGUUGAACCCUCUAGAAUUGCAGGCCUCAUCACACGAGCAGAGAUUCCAAAUAGAUACUUUGGCUCAACAUGAGCAGGUAAUUUCUUCCCCCCCCCCCUUGUAUGCGUACCCCCCCCUUUGUGUGCCUAUUUUGAUUUACAAGCUUUAUUGCAUUGAGAAAUCCAAUAUGAGCUGGAAGAAUGCGGCUCAUAAAGCUCAAGUUAUAUGUAUUUUUAUACGUAUGCGUGUAUGCCCUGUUUCUAGUGUUUGUUUUUCUGGAGGUCUAUUAGCACAUGUUUGUUAACGUUUCACAAUCUUUGUCACAUGCUCCUAUACUAUCUUGAUAUUUUCGUCUUUCAUAAUAUUUGAAACCUAGAAGUAUCAUCUUUCAAGGCUAAAAAGUUUAGAGAUAAUUAUCUCUUGGUUAUUCUAGGAUGUCCUUGAACUACUAUCCUAGCCAAAAACUAUGCUCCUAUAAACAACAAGGUUUAUCCUUUAUCCUUUUAGUUAUCUUUAGUAGUCCGUUUGUCCUUUAAUCUAAAAUUGAAGAAUAGAUUUUUUUCCUUUCUCAGUUAUUGUGGGAUAACGAGGAACCCUCUCGACAAGAGUUAAAAUUAUCAUCACAGAACUUACUGGUUGUAUCAGGAUCAUGUGAAAACAAAAGAAAGUUAUCUGUAAUGUAGCUCCAGGUCAUCGUAGAAUAACCAAGUUUAACUGGAAUAACUCUCCCUAAGCUUUUUUUGUUCCAUUUUGGCAGAAUGAUAGUAAGUAAUCCUAUCAGUAGGUUUUGCUGGUUAUCUUUUUUAGUCUGUUUGUUAUUUAUUUUUUGCUUCAUGUUGCAGAAGGAUCACAUGAAAAAGAGAUUGGAGAGCCAGAAUUUUGAACCAAAUGGAAACAACGGUAAUCUCUUCUAGCCUUUUGCUUUGUCUUCUUAUCUUCUUAUAUCUGCAUUUAAUUUGAGUUUUUCGCGACCUUUCAUUUUUUAUUGUUGGCAAUUCACAGUUCUUUUUGGGCAACAUACUGCUAAGAAACCUAAGCUAUUGAAGCAAGUGCCAGAUACUCUGCAAGAAACUCUUACCCCAGUCAGUGGGUCAAUGCCUUCUCCAGUUGCAUCGCAGAUGAGUAACAUGCCCAAUCCAAAUAAGCUUAUUAAAAUGGUUGCCAAUAGGGAUCGUGGAAGAAAGGGUAAAGCCUUGAAGGUGAGAGAUUGCAACAUUUGUUGGGAUAUAUAAUAUAUGCUUGUUCUUUGUACAAUUGGACUCCUGAUUUGGUCAACUCUAAAAAGUAUUCGAAAUAGUUUUUUUUUUUUUCCUUUUCCUUUUGUCGGUGUGGAAUCUGUUCGUUACUUGAUAAUUGUGGUUCUUUGACCUCUUGAAUGAUAAUGGACACUUUUUUUUUGUCGAAAGUAUUCAAUCAGUAUAGUGGAGGCCCCAAAAGUACUAUAUUACAAUAAUAAGCUGAUUGACAACAUAAAGAACAAUAUGUAGAGUAAGAACUGUAUGAUAGUGAUAGACAUUGAGUGACAUGAGAAAACAAAUAACUCAAUAAUCUCUGUGAUUUCUCAUAAAUAAAGCCAGAAAUGGAAUGGUUUACACGAAGUCAGCUUUCUUAUCAUCUAAUGUUUUUGUUUUCUCCAAUUUUGCAGAUGGCUGCUGGUCCCUCUGGGUGUGGGAGUCCGUGGUCAAACUUUGAGGAUCAGGUUUCUAUGCCUUUUCAAAGUCUAAUGUCAUUUGCGCAUUACUUCGGUUAAUUUCUCUGUUAUUGAAAUAUUUCAUCAAUUCAUACUAGGCUCUUGUUGUCCUUGUUCAUGAUAUGGGUCCAAACUGGGAGCUUGUGAGUGAUGCGAUCAACAGCACCCUUCAGUUCAAGGUUACGUAACUUUAAUUUAUUAAUGCUUUUGCUGCAAUUUUGUAGGAGUUCAAGUUUGGCAUGCCUCAUUAACUUUAGUUGCUUUUGAAUGUUUCUUUUCUUUAACAUGAUUUUCUUUUAGAGAUUUCUUUUUUCAAUAGAAGAGAAUAUUGGUGGUUUGUUGAUUCCACUUUUGAAACCAUGCUUCGUCUUGCCCGAGUUCAUUGUUUAUUAAACUACUUAGUUGUUUUACUUUUGACUCAUAUCAUAUGGCUCAGAGAUUGAUUUCUAUUCUACACUGCAGUGCAUAUAUAGGAAACCUAAAGAAUGUAAGGAGCGCCAUAAAUUUUUAAUGGAUAGAAGUGCUGGUGAUGGUGCUGACAGUGCAGAAGAUUCUGGCUCAUCUCAACCUUACCCAUCAACUUUACCUGGCAUUCCGAAGGCAUGACAAUCCCUUUGCCGUCUAUUGGGACUUACUUUACGUGUUCUAACUUAAUUGGCCACCAAAAGGCCUAUUUGGUUCUGCUGGAGCAUGUGCAGAAGUGCUUUUUUAGUAGAAUUGCUUGAAGAAGCACCAACAGCAUUCUCAUCGAAAUGUCUUUAACUGCUUCUUUCAACUUCCUGCCACAACAUAAGGCUGACUGCCACUUGUUGGAAUAAAGAAGUUGUUCUAGACGCUCCGGCACUAAGAACCAAGCAUAAAGGCCUAAACGCAGUAAAUUUUUCUGCGUUGUCUACAACACCUGAAAGGCCCAUGCACAAUAAGCUAUCAUUUUUAGAAACUUACAUGUUUCCCAGGAAAGUGUGGCUUUCAUAGAUCAUUAAGUUUUCUUGUACUACUUGAUGUUUCACAAAUAGGUUUAGAAAACUUGUUAAAUCUUGUAUAUUGGCCUUUUAGGUGUUGAUCAUAUUCCAUAAUAUAGAUUUCAAUUUAGGCCUCACCCUUGAUUCUCACACUUUGUGUAAAAAGUGUGCAAGUUACACUAGUGUCAAUGGAUCCUUACGUAUAUGCAUAAACACAUAGUACAUACGAGGCUCAUGGAUCAGAUUUGUGUUGUAUUAAAUAUUGAAUCUUUCUUCAAUUUGUUGGUACACCAGGGUAGUGCCAGACAGUUGUUCCAGCGCCUUCAAGGACCACUUGAAGAAGAUACUCUCAAGGCACAUUUUGAAAAAAUUAUUUUGCUUGGACAUCAACUUCGUCCAUGUCGUAGUCAGGUAUGUUUUCUGGUUUUAUUACUCCUAAAAUUUGAACAUACAUGAUGCAUAUAUGUUUAAGAGAAUAUAUGUGCAUAGAAUCAUUUAGAGGAUGUAUUACGAACAAAAUUAGUUUUUCUACUGUGAUUGCAUAACAAUAGGAAAAUCAGAAUUGCCUUGCUAUUCUAGAAAGCAACUCCUUUUUCGACCCUGAAGCUAUCACUUAUUAGGGAGCAUUGGUUUGCAUCUUUACUGACAUCUAUUAACCAAUAACUUCUUAGUUGGGCUUUACUUAUCCUCUUAUGUUUCUGCCCUUAUCUCCUUCUGCAUCUCUUUAUAAAAUUGAAUUAUGUUUGUCUGAUGAUAUUUUUUUUUAAAAAAAAUUGCUAAUGGUUAUGAUUUGGCUUUUCUGUGAAGAAUGAAGGCCGAGAACUAAAGCAGAUAACUCCUGCUCACACUUCUCAUGUUGUUGCUCUUUCUCAAGUUUGCCCAAAUAACCUAGGUGGAGGUGUUUUGACGUAAGUUCUAUUAGGUGUGCUACAUCCUCUUGCAUUUUAAUUUCCGUGAUGUAAUCAUUUUUCCUUUUUUUUUUGGGUGCGGGGAUGUCUACUACAGGCCACUUGAUCUUUGUGAAGUGAUCAAUUCUAGCCAAGAUGUUUUUCCCAUUGGUUACCAAGGGCCUCAUACAAAUGGCUCAGCAAUAUCAAGUCAUCAAGGUUCUAUGGCUCCUAUUCUUCCUCCACCAAAUGUGAAUUGCAUGUUACAAGGUUCUCCUGGUAUGGUCGUAGGCAGCAACAUGCCAUCGCCUCCUGCACCAUUGAGUGCCCCUACUAGGUACACAACCUUCGAUAAUUUAUUUUACUUUAGAGAUAUUUACAUAUAUAUCCUUGGAAAUUUAUUUACCUACAGACAUAGAAUCAUUGUGUACGAAGUCUGAAUUUUUAUAUAUGUCCUUAAAAAAUUAAUUUAUUACUCCUAUACCCUUGUGCUUACAAAUGUUCUACUGUUCAGAAAUUUGAAAUAUAGAACCAACUGCUCCCACCCCUCACAACAUCUGGAGAAGUCUCCAGCUUAAUUGAUCAGUGUUUGCAUACGAAAUUCCACUUUUGAGGUGUUUAUGUGAAAAUUCAGAUUUAGCAAGAGUGUCCAUGUAAAUUAAUGAUUUUGUACAUGCAUACAUACAAACACACACACACCCAUACAUACAUGCAUGUAAAAUCCCUUUUCUUGCAUUUGCAUUUUUCAAAAUAAUUUUUGUAAAAAAUCACUUUUCUCUAUGGCCAAUAUAUUUUCCAAAAUUGUUCUUGUAGAGAUGCCCAGAGAUACGGUUUGCCUAGACCAACUUCUCUACCGCUUGACGAGCACCAGAGAAUGCAGCAAUACGGCCAUAUGUUUUCUGGCAGAAAUCUUCAGCAAUCUAGCAGUAUAUCUGUGCCAGGGGCUGCGUUACCUGUGGGAGUUGAUCGCGGUGGGGUCUGCACGCUACCAGCUGGUAACGGCAUGGGAAUGAUGCGUGGACUAAACAGAGGGGUUCCUAUGCCAAGGCCGGGAUUUCAAGGGAUUAGUCCUCCGGCUAUGAUGAAUAUGGUCUCAACAGGAAACAUGCUACCAAGCAAUGGGCAUGGAAUGCAGAGCUCGGUCAAUGUUCAGCGAAAUGCUACUGUUGCUGGUGCAGGAAAUUCAAUGUUGCGGCCGCGUGAAUCUUUGCAGAUGCUGCGGGUGAGUUUUUCAAUUCCAUAUUUCAGCAUCACUGCUUGAAUCAUUGUACAUUGGGAAUUUACAUUUAGGUCCUGUCAUUUUCGAAAAGGUUCAAGAACUAUUGUUCUAUUGAUCCCUUCACUUCAAGAUUUUUCCUUAUGACAGUUAAGUUUUUUUUUUUUUUUUUCAUUACAACUUGACUCAACUGAAAUUCACAUAUACAAAAUAAUGGAAUUUACUAUUGCUAACUUUCGUCCCUAUUUUCCUGUAUAUGAAUUUUAGAAGGGGAAAACUGUAAUAAAGGGAAAAUAAUUACGAUUGCCAGCAGAGUGCUCCUAAGAUUUAAGGAAAGAUGCUCAGUAGGGCCUUUUAUGAAAGAAUCCUUUUUCCUUCAUUUCUGUGGGUGAAAAGGAACUCCCAAAAUUUAUUAAAGAAAAUCAUAAACCUAAAAGGACUUAUGAAAGAAAAUCAAGAAAUUAUCUAAUUAGUCAGAUACACGAUUACAAAUUACCUUCUUAUUAUUUGUUGCUCUUUUAAAUUUAUUAAUGUUGCUGACAAAUCAUCUGUUUUUUUUCUCUGGAUUGUGGUUUGUCAAUUGUGAUUACGAGUAUCAAGAAAAUAUAUUUUCGUUAUAUAUUUCUCUAAUGUUAGAAUUUUCCAUUUCUGUAGCCUGGUCAGAACCUCACCGACCAAAGGCAAAUGAUGCAAGAACUCCAGAUUCAAGUUUCACAAGGGAAUGUACAAUCUUACCCUCCUUUCAAUGGUAUCAGUGGACCGUUUUCUAAUCCAGCAGCUUCUUCACCUGUUCAGUCAUUUCCUGUUCAACCACCCCAACCAGCGCCUCCGAUGCCGCAACAGCCCCACAUGCUUGGAAACCCUAACCACCCUCACAUCCAUGGGCUGAACCACGCAGGAUCACAACAGCAGCAGGCUUAUGCUAUCCGCUUUCCAAAAGAGCGGCAGAUCCAGCAAGGAAUGAUGGCACAAAGUUCACAACACCCUUUUCCAGUGCCCAGUGGGCCCAAUGGCAUGCCACCCAUCCAAAACAGCCAGCAGACCCAGCCAUCUCCUGUUCCUCCGGUUCCUUCUUCUUCUCAAGCAUCGCAUAAGCAACAGCGGAACCCACAAGCUAGCAAUGGAACGCCUAGUCAGGUAAUGAAGCAAAGGCAAAGACAACAGGCUCAACCUCAACAGCAGCAGCAACAACAGCACCAGCAAAGACAAAGCCAGCAAGAAAGGCAACAAUCUCAACAGCAGGCUAAGCUAAUGAAGGGAAUUGGUAGAGGGAGCUUGCUGAUGCACCAAAAUUUGACGGUUGAUCCGUCUUUAGUCGGCAGCGGCAUCUCAACAGCGAACCCCAAAAACCAGGUUUCUGACAACAAAAAUCUGAUGCAACAGUCAGCCCAGGGUUUCUAUACUGGUGGUGCGGGUUUAAACCCAUCAUUGCCUCCUCAAAUAGGAAACCAAUCUAAAAUAUACUCUAGUUCAAUGCCGUCUCAAUCAUCAAAACAGAUCCCACAAAUGCCUUCUCAUUCCGAUAAUGGUAAUCAAGGAUCGAAGCAGGGUUCUCCUGUUCCUUCUUCAUUGCCACUGUCUCAGCAGCAGCAGCAAUGCCAUGUGAAUCCGUCUCAACAAAACACUCAAAGAGUGAUGAUUCAGCAGAAGCAGCGUCUAAUGAAUUCUGAUGAAGUUCAGCCUAAUCAGUUGAUUCCGGCUACACAAGUUCCUAAUAGUACAGAUUCAGGAAGUUCUCCUGUGGCUUCAUCAUUAACACAGUGGAAGCAAGAGCCGGCGUCAUAUGAUACAAAUGCAAUUAAUUCGGCAGUUCAAUCCGCUAGUUCACCACAGGAGAAUAUACUGGGGAAUGAAGGGUUAGUGCCAUCUUCUUCUGGACAGGUUCCAAUACAGAGGCAAAUUUCAGGUGUCUCGAUGCAUAACGUUGGGAGUCAGUGGCAGCAGCCGCUGCAGCAGCAGCAAUCUCAGCAGCUGUUGCAGCAGCAACAGCAACAGCAACAGCCUCAGCAUCAUAACCGAACAGUGGUGCAAAGCAAUAUUUAUGCGCAACCUUCAAAUUCAGGACCUGGAUGAUAGAAGUAGUGUUGGAUUGAUCAUGUACUUUGAAGUUGCUCCCACUUCUCUUGUAAAAUUAGUGUACAGGUAGCUGUUGCCCCUGCUCUCAUAUUCUUUUGUUGAGCAAAGAAAGUUGAUUGUUUAAUGUUUCUUGCAUCCAUGAUAAGGAAAAAAGGGUUCAGGGUUCAGUUAUCAAGUUUGACUUCCUCCAGACUGAACCAUCCCAGAAUUUAGCGCCCAUAAAUUUAUCAAUAAGCUUUUUGUAACUCGUAAAUCAUGAACAUGUUGGUUCUUUUAGGUUACCUUUGUUGCUCUCGGUUUGUGUGUACUUCGAAUUAUAAGAGCCAUUUGAUUGAACAACUUGCCGAUCAAUUUAUUAAAAUGCGAUGACUGUGCAUGUACAGAAUGUUUCAUCAUUGAGGUCACUUCAUUUUUUUAGUUAGAAGUUAACUUCUCUGUUUGAUCAUCUGCAUGUGAGAAUGGAAGAAUGGUCUUUAGAGAGAAAAUGUUAAAUGUGAUCUUCGAAAAUAAGUUAUUGAAGAGCUAAGAUUUCUAUUUAUCUAUCCAGAUUGUUUUUAUUUUUUCUUGUUCUCUUUAUUUGGCAAAGUAGGAAAGAAUGCGGAGCUAACGAUCAAUAGAAUGGUCUGUGGUCAAAUCAUGAGAUUAUUGAGUUCUUAAGUAAGGAUGGUUUUAAGUUUCAUGAACUGUGCUCCUUAAUUAUUUGCACAAGCUUCUUUUCUUUGCUGAGUUUUACUUUUUCCUCACUUUGUGAUAUAGGUCUUCAGGCUGUGAAAGCUGCGGAAUUCUAUUAUGCUCCUUCAUUCCCAACUUGAGCUUAUCCCACUUAUUUCAAGGCCAGGUACAAUAUUUCAUCCUUGCCUCAUCUACUGUUGGCUUUGCCCUCACCAGACGGCAGGAGUUGCACCGCUAUUGUAAUGAUUAAUUCUUUCUUUCUUUUUUUUUUUUCUUUUUUUUUUUUUUUUUUUCUGGGUAGUUGAACUGUACCCUAAUUGGGCCUAUGUAGUAUAUUUUUGCCCCACGAUAUUUAUGUUAUAUUAGAUGUUGGCAAAUGUUGUGCAGUUAAUCAUCCCUUGUCGGCAAUAUCUUGCUGAUUAAAAUUUGUAUAGAUUAGUAUGUACUAUAACAAGUUAGUGAACUUGAAAUCCCUUCUCGCAAACUUCUUCAUUAUCAUCACCUUGUAUCCGUCAAAUUGGGAGUUUGAAUUCUGUUGACAGAGCCUCUGGGUUCAUCAUACUAGGACACAAUAAGGGAACAAUUUCAUGACCUAUAGUUGCUCUCAUUUUUUUUUUUUUUUAUUUUGUUUCUCUUCUGUAACUUUGUCACAAGCUGCAGAUUAUAUGUAUAUAUGUGGCGCUUCAGAAUGGUGAAGGCAGUGAGAAGGGUAGUGCAUAGAUUUGGUAGUACAUGAUGCCUCAGUAAUAUUAUGCUUAAAUAGCUUGAUUACGUUACUGUUGUUUUGCAUGUUUUCUGGCAUAUAUUUUCUUACGGGAAGCCAUAUUAGCAACUGUUGAACAUUUUAUAAUGCAAGGUAAAAUCUUUAUGGUUAACCUUGUUUAUAGUGUGCGCUACAGUGUCAAAUAUUCGAAUGUAUAAAACAAUGGUUAUUACAUUAUUGAAUAGUUGAGGUGAAUGCGAGCAAUUUACUUGAUGGUUCAUUUUAUUAUACUGUUUUCAACGUAAAUUAUACUUGCAGUUUAAAGAACAUAUCUUUAUUUUCCCGUGUGCUGGCAAUUGGAAAGUUUAACUUUAGUAAUCAGUAUGGCUUCUCCUUUUCUUUUUUUAUUUAUGAUAAUUUGUUUUUUUUAUUGCUGAAUAUUUGAAUAACAAGCUCCACGAGAAGAUUGUUUCAUUUGAUUAAUUUGUUGCGUUUCAUUGUCAUCUCUGAUAAGUGGACUUACCCGCUCAGUCUUGUUUGCGCCGUAUCUUAUUCGCAGGAGUUAGAUAUGAAAUGAUUAGUUAGUCUUCGCUCUGCUCGGCGUGUUGACUUUUGGCUUAAUUGUGCAGCAUUAAAUUCCCUGUUACGUUUACUACUAUGUGAGAAGUAGCGAACGCCAGAAAAAACCAAUGGUACAUGGCUUGCAAAUUAAUGUAACUUGUAUUAUUAUUGUUAACCCUAGCACCUUCCUUUCUUCGGCACUAUUUUGUAAAAUAUAGCUUGUAUUAUUAUUAUUACUAUUUAUAAACUCAGCACCUUUCUUUCUUAGGCACUAUUUUGUAAAACUAUACACUAGGAAUCCUGAUCCUAAUGGUUCACAAUGCGGGAACUCUCUCUCUCUCUCUCUCUCUCUCUCUCUCUCUCUGCACCCUAAAUGGUGCAAUACAAACCACAUCACAAAGAUCCGAGAAGCGUUUCGUCAUCGGAGCUGCAGAGCUCUGGCGUUGGAGGCUGCGUCACCAAAAUCUGUUGAUCCUUGCAAACACCGAGAUCCUCCGAUUGAUCCUUGCAAACACCGAGAUCCUCCGAAAGCUUCUUGCACAGCUGAAAAAGGAGAUACAUCACCAAAAAUGUUUAUACUCCAUCCAUCCAUCUUUCGUCAAAUUCAAUUAACUCUGUAGAGUUAUAAAAUACUGUCGUUACCUUCCUAUACAAGCAAGAAUCUCCAGAUGAUUUCCUCAGUUCCACAACAUAUAGAGAGGGACUGAGCUCAAACACCUGAUACCAAAAACAAUAUCUUAAGCUAGGGGCGGGAAAGCUAUCUACUACAACUAAGCAUUGAAGAAAUAGAUUUAGGAACUUACUUGAGCAGCAACUAGGAGUAAGCCGGGGCUCUUUGGGCUCAAUGAGCUCUUUUGCAGUUGCAUCACCUUAAGCUGAAAAGAUCGUACCAAGUAGAUAGUUUCAGUGAUUAGAUAGUUGCAUCACUUAAUUAAGAUAGUUUCAGCGAUAAAGAUACUUGGUCUUUCUCUACGGUGAAGGGAGGAAAAUAACAAACCAAAAAAGCAAUUCGUACUAACUUUGCCAUUUCCUCUCUGAACUUGGAAACCCAUCUCGGUGACAAUGUCCUCGAUCUUCUGAUAUAGAUCAUUCGGCGGAUGGUUUGAUGUGAACCUAAUCUUCCUUUCGGAGACAUGCUGAAAUAAACAGAUUUAGUUUUUCAUGAGUGUGUUUUUAAUAUAGAUGGUAAUGAAAGAGUGAAGAUAUCAGCCAACCUCUUUCUCAAAUAAACCAGAGAGAUCGAGAGCCGAGGACAUUCCGAUCAGCUGAAAAGCAUUUAUGUGAGUUGGUUUUCCAUGGCCGCACUCCUCAUUGUGCUUCAAGAAACACAGGAAGAAAAAAAAUUAAUUUCUUUCAGUUCGAACAUGCCCUAAUGGAGAAAACAAAGUAAGAUGCAGCAGAGGUAUCUUAAAAUGCCAUCGAAAUUUCAACUACCUCUUUGAUUGAAAGGGCUAAACUGUGAGCUCCAUCGUCGUCGUCGUCAUCAUCAUUAGGAACAACAGGAAUAUAAUCCUGCUUAAACCAUUCGUCAGCUUUGAUACCGGCCAUGUUUAUCCUAGCUACCGGGUUCGGGUCUAGAAUUCUCUUCAAAAGGUUUCGAGCAGCCGGAGAAAGCCAUUUAGGGAUCUGGACAUCACCUUUGAAAAUCUAAAACCACCAAUAAACAUCGCAUUACAAACGAAUCACCACCAAGAUAUUCGAACCAACCCAAACUUCUAUCCCAUCUUUCCAAGUACCUUUUGAUAAAGUACAGCUAUAUUGCGGUCGUCGAAAGGGAGAUAUCCAGUAAGGAUAACAUAUAGGAUAACGCCACAGGACCAGACGUCCGACCUGGAGCCAUCAUAACCUCUGUUUGCAAGCACCUGUAUUGAGUUUUGUAAUAAAUUUCCGUAAUAGGAUCUUGGAAACAUAAUCAUCAAUAAUUCUUAUUUGAGUCGUAGAGAAAGAGCACAAACAUUCUUACCUCAGGCGCAAUGUAAUUGGGGCUGCCGCACGUUGUGUGCAGUAAUCCAUCAGUCUAGACAUAAAUGAAGGUGAUUAUUAACUUAUUAUCCUACAACUAGGGGAAACUAAGAAUUGCUCUUUUUUUUAAAAAAAAAAAAUUAAACUGCGGGAUGAACUAAUAAUCACAUACCCCAAGCUGCUGGGGCAAAGCACUGAGACCAAAAUCCGAUAUCUUUAUGUUGCCUUUUGCAUCCACAAGAACAUUUUCUGGCUGUAACAAAUACAAGAAGAAUAAGCUGUCAAAGAGAAAUCAAUUAAUCCCAGUUAACAACCCGUCUUAUAUAUGAUACAAUAAAGGCCACCUUAUUCAUCGUAAGUAUGAUCUGUAAUAUUUUAUUACCUUCAAGUCCCUGUGGUAGACUCCCUUGUCAUGGCAAUAGCUCACACCAUCAAUUAGCUGCUGAAAAAGCCUCCGCCCUUCUCGUUCGGAAAGUUUACCCUUUAAUGCCUUCAAUAAUAAUAUUUACAAGUGGUGUAAGAAAUUCCCAUUUCCCUUCAUGGAAUAUGACACAGCUAUCUUUAUUUUUGUGGGGACCGGAAUCCGAAUGCUUACAAUUUUGUCGAACAGUUCGCCUCCAUUUACGUACUCGAGGACCAUGUAGAUCUUAGUUUUGCUUGCGGAUACCUAGAUAAAAAAAAAAAAUAAAUAUGUUAUAUAAAAUCAAAAAUUCACACAAAAAAACAUCAACCCAAGCUCAUAGUAGACUAAUCAAUUUCAAUUAGAAGCUCCUACUCAAUUAAUUGCAACUGCUCCAAAUCCAAUCCAAUGAUGAUGGUAGUGCACGAAAAGAAUGGUCAUUUUUUAGCCGAUGAAAAACUUUGGACAAAAUUUUAUUUUGUGGGUACUAGGGAACAGGUAGAUGAGAUGGCCAGAGGGAACAUCCACAUGACAGAGAGAGAAGAAGCGAGGUUGGAGUCGAUCUGGUUCACAUGGCUGGGGCCCACCAGGCAAAAGGAGGCGUUAUUUUUCAAACGGGCCCCACCAAUCAUUGAAGGGGCGAAACCCGAUUCCUGUUGGUGGUCCGAGGUGUUUGAUGGUUGGAGCUCUUUACGGAAUACGAUCACGUGGACCAGCGCUUUUACAUGUGGACGGCCGUGAUUAGCUCGCCAUUUUCCAUCUAAUCCGUCCGGAAAGUAGAGGGGAGGCAACACGGGAUCGGCGUCCCGGCAUGUUGCAUGCAGCGGGCCCCACCCUCACGCGGCCAACCAGCGUAGCCAAAAGCCCGUGGGCCCCACGCAAAUCAGUCACGACUUCGACGUGCGGCGCCGAAACGGAAACGGAAACGGAAACGGAAACGGAAAAAGAAACGGAGAACCAGUUCACUAUAUAUUAUAUUAAACUGUUCAAAUUCUUAAUUUAGGUUAAAUAGUUCUCCUUUUUUGGGGGGGCCUAGCGUCAAUUUUUGUUGGUAUUCAGGUGGACACUGUAAUUUAGCAGAUAUAAGGACAUAUUUGGCUUUACCAUAAUAGCGCGUAUUGUUAUUCGAGUAGUUACUAUAAGGAUAAGCACCGUAUGUGAUAAAGCUUAAUUAACACUACUUUUUCUAGAAGCAUAAAAUAGAAGGCCUAAAUUGAGCUAGUUGGAGCUUCCAAAAUCAUGUUUCUAUAUUAUAUAUUAUAUAUAUUUCUUAGCUUCUAACCGUAAAACACGCAUUAAGUAUGACUAUGGUUGAAACCGAAGCAGAAGCAAGGUGAAAUAGCCGCAAGUUUCUGAGGUCUCAUCAUAGUGGUCACGCAUCGAACAAAACAUUAAACAUCACAAAAAAAAGAAGAAGAAGAAGAAGAAGCUAGAUUACGCAAAUAUACAUCAAAUUAAAGAGGGGAUUUAAAAUGAACUAAUUAAACAACAAUAAGAAGAAGAUUAACGGAGAUAAGAACGGACCUCAUGUAACCGUACGACGUUGGGAUGCUUGAGAAGCUUCAACGUCCCGAUCUCCCUCUUUAUCUAAAACAAAUCAAAAAAAGAAAAUCCCCAAAACCUACUCCGUUAAUCCCUUCUCUUCUUCCUUCCCGCUCGGAGAAUUUGAAUCGAACCAAGUAAGGGCGUAGAAAAGAUCGAAUCGAAGUAGAGUGGUACCUGAUCGUCGAUCUUCAGGGAGAGGAUCCGCUUCCGAUCGAGGAUCUUAACGGCGUAGGGUUGCCCCGUCUCCGUGUGCUGAGCGUACUUCACCUUCGCGAAGUUCCCCUCCCCGAGCGUCCUCCCGAUCUCAUACUUCCCCAGCCUCGUCCCUCUCCUCUCCUCCUCCCCUUCUCUCACCAUUAACGCACCUUCCUCGGCUCCGAUCGCUUCGAUCCGAUCCGAUCCGAUCUCCCCCUUCGUCUCCCUCUACUCCUCGCUCGAAGCUUCCGAUUCCUCAAUGGCGAUCGAUCGAUCGAGAGAGGCGAAGCUCCGCCGAAUCGCUUCGGAGUCGCCUCAGACGCGACGAGGAGAAGUGUGUAGAAGAUAGCUGCGGCCCGACUCGGUGGGAUCGUCUUCGACUCGGGUGUGGUGGUGGGGAGAGAGGGAACCAAAAGAAAGAGGGAGAAUCGUCUUCGACUCGGGUGUGGUGGUGGGGAGAGAGGUGUACUACGGGUUUGGUGUUGGGGCUAGCGGAACGAAGAGGUACAUACAUUAAAAAAUAAUAAAAUAAAAAAAUAAAAUAAAAUAAAAUAACCGUCACCGCAGCGUUCGCUCGGGGAAACGUUACGGCCUCGCCAGCUAGGGAGAGCCACGUGGACCAAUGGGAAGAUUCACAACCCCUGCGGGCCCCGCACUAGGAGGUGACCGGAUCCCCGGGAUUUUAGAUUCCCCGCUCUAGCUACCAGUUUUAUGCGUGCACAAAAGCGGUAUCUUGUUCGCACUAAUCUCGGAGCCGAUAUUUACCAAAAUACCCUUUAGGAUUAUAGUGGACUUUUUAGCAAUAAUAUGAUCUUAGGAAAGCGUUAAUUUCGGCAAUUAAAAAAAAUCCGGGGGAUUUAAUACCUUUCUUUCCGGAAUAAGGAUGGGGCAAUAACUAAUAACUUUAUUCGGAUCGGAAUAAGUCGGGGCCUGGGGACAAAUUGGCUCCACAACAAAUUAAAACGGCUUUGUUAAUGAUAUAUACACUUGCGUAAUACGAAGAGUGUUAAAUAUAAAAAUGUUUAAAUAUCGUUCUCUAACAGCUUAAGUUUUUAGAGUACAACGGUUGUUUCACAUGGUAUCAGAGCAGGAGGUUCUGAGUUCGAGUCACGCCAGGCUUCUAGCAUAUCAAUUUUCCCCCAUUUAAUUCAAGCCCACGUCAUGAGCCGAUUAAAAAGUCUCGAGCCCAGACCGUUCUCUAAUAGGUUAAGCUUUUAGAGUACAACGGUUGUUUCACAAAGAGCCAAAAUGAGGAACGCAAGGGAUAAGAACUGCCGAUGCUUUUUCGGUAUUGGAAAAGAACGUUUUUCUCAAUUAGUUAAUUCACAAUUAGAAUAGAUGUUGAGUGCUAUUCACUGCAUGCCUAUAUAUGCAUAUGUUCCCCAAUGUUUAAAACAUGAGAAUUGAUAUAUUUUGGGUAAUUUUUAAUAUUGCCAAAGCAAAUUAAUAUAUAUGUUGUAUCCAAUUAUGAUCCGAAUCUCUUUACUUUGAUAAUAGUAGAAUUUACUCUGAAUAUAUUAAAUUUCUUAAAAUAUUGGGACUUUUACGUUUGAGAUUUGCAUGUUUGGUGUUAUUUUUUCAUAAUUAUGACUAUAUGCUAAUGACGCAACAAUCUGGGUGUACCAGUACUUAAAUUUUUUUUUUUUUUUUUGGUAAACUUCAAAUAUCAUCUCUGUGGUUUCACAUUUUUUGGUUUAAAGUGUAUUAAUUUAGUAUCCUGUGAUUUUAUUUUUCUUUUUUCAUCAGCUCAUCUGUUAACUUUUCGUUAAAUCAUAUACAAAAAUUUCAGAUACCCAUCUAUAGUUUAUCGAAUAUUUACUUUAGUACCUUUUAGUUUUAACUUUGUCACUGAUUUAAUAAAAAAAAUUAGUUAAAGGAAUAACAAAAAGAAAAAAUAAUAAAACCAGAGGGUACGAAAUUGAUACACUUUAAACCACAGGUAUUAAAGUAAGAAAAUACAAAACGACGAGGGUGGUAUUUGAAGUUUUUUCUUUUUUUAUUAAUUAAUGCCAACUGGCAACUAGUUGUAGAUGAUAUAAAAAUAUUGUACAAUUAUGAAGUUAUUUAAGCCAUUUGAAAGAGGCGUACGACCUCUAUUGAAUUAUUAGGUUCCGUACGCUUGUAAGUUUCCAAUCUACUGCUUCUACUCCACCGUUCAAAUGUCUAUGAUGAGAUAAACUUUUCAUCCAAGUUCGAUAUGAUAGAAAUUUCGUCUAGCUCUUUAUGUUGAUAAUAAAUUAAACUACAUCAGAUGAUUAUUUGAAGGUAAUUAAUAACUAGCUAGUCAAAUAACUUAAGUUGCUUGUGUCAUGAAAAGAAAAUGAAAAGCAACGCGUGAGACAUUUCUCUCUAAAAACUUUAAGUUAAUUAGUUGGUAGGGAGUUCUAAUAUGUUAUAUUUGGAAUUGCAAAAUUGUAGAAACAGAAAUGGAGGAGAUUUAGAGAUUAUUUGACCUACACCGUGAAUUUUCUCUUUUUACAUAGUGAAGAUAAAGAAAAACAUCUUAAUUUAUGAAGGCCUGUUUGGUUUGGAUAUAAGUGAGGAAAUAAGCCUUUAUUCUUUUAUAUAUAUCCAGACAAAAGGGUGAAACUCUUGUUCCCUCCUUAAUGGAUUUUUUUUGGACAUUAAGGGUUGGAAACAAUUGUUCCAUCCCCAUUAAGUUUUUUGAGAGAUAGAUAGCACGCUAUCCGCUUCGUUUAUUUCAUUUAGAAAUAAACUUAGCCGGAAAUGUGAAUCAACUAGGAUUCGAACUUGGAACCUCAGAUACCAACCACCAAGCCCUUUGCCACUUGCUCUAGGGACAGUCGGUUCCACCCCCAUUAAGUUGUUUUGCAUAAUUAAUUAAUUAACUUAUUAAAUUUUAUUCAAUUCAUAUUUUGAUAUUAAUUAACUAGGUAAAGUAUUUUAAAUUUAUAACUACACUUGUUUCUACUGUUUUAUUUUAACAACUCAAACACGUUUUUUUUUAAAUUUCUGAAAAUGACUUAAUUCUCAUUUAAAUAUAAAGCUUGCCUAGUUUCCGUUUAUAUCAUAAAUUAUACGUGUAUAUAUAUAUAUAAUGGAUAAAUGAUGACAACUUAUUCUCGAGGAUAUAUGCCAAAAAAGGCAUAUAUUAAUUGGAGCUAGGUUAUACGGCCACUAAUUUCUCUUCUCUCGUGAAUGGUCACAGAGCAUUGCAAUAUUAGAAAAAUAGCUAGUAAAACACAAGAAGUAACGCUGGUAAAUUUGUUGCAUUUCAAUUUUCCAUAAAACAAAAUAAACAAAGUCAAAGGAAUCACAUGCAGUUGGGUAUUUACGUGGCAGAAGAGAAGUCCUGAUGUUGAUUAACUGAAAAGGAAAAAUAUUCGUUAUUAUAAAAACAAGUGGUGGGUACUAAUUAGCUAAGGUAAAAAAUUUGACAUGAACCAUAUAUUUCUCCAUAAUUCCAAGGAUAAGAAGAGGUUGGACUUUUCCUUGGACACAAAAUAAUAUGUUUAAAAAAGAAAAUUGGUGGGGAAGAAGCAAGCAAAAUAUAUAGUCUAUAAAUGAAUGCACUUUUAGGUUGAAUUAUGCGGGCUAGAAUUAGACAAGUCACGAGAGAAACGCCUUUAUCACAUUUAAUUAAGUACAUAAAAUAAAUUUUCACCAAAUUCUAUUAGAAUUCAUGUGAUAUUAACCAAGUUAUGACAAAAGCUAAAAAAAUUUAUUUCAUUGGAUGCGAAAAUCUAAAGGUGAAUUAAGAAACAGAGAAAAAAAAUAAAACAUACAAAUACUCUGCAUGAUUCAGCCAUUGAUGUACGUUGAUAUAUAAACAAACAAAGAGCAAGAUUUUUAUAUAUUACCGUAAAAAAAUAGUAUAAAAGGGUAUCUUUCUCAAAAAAAAUAAAAAAAAAUCAAAACACUCAAAAUGUGAUGCACGGUCUCUCUUUUUCGCUGUACCAAUUCAUAGAAUAAAAGAUAUAUUUAUGCUAAUGGCUAAAUAAUAACAAGACUAUAAAUAUUUUUAAUGAAAUUAAAAAUAAUUUUAACUUAAUUCCUGCAUAAAUCAAAAUAAAAUAUGAUUGGAAAAACUUGGCGCUUAAAGAAUUCACCAUAUAUCUACCAGACAAUUUUGGACCAACCACAUCACUUCUUUCUAAACCAACUAAAAUCUCAGAAAAUAGUAGUAUCAGAAAGAGAAGGGAAAAAGAAAAAGAAUUCCAAGUCCUUGGAAUUAUUGGAUUUGCAUUUCCAUACACCAAGUAUGUCCAAUUAUACGAAACGCAAACGUGCGUGGUAACGUAGUGUAAUCACGGCUAAGCCACAGAGGGUCCAUAUAAUUGAAGGACUAAUUAAUCUAUAGAACUAAUGGUGUUUUUUCUUUUGGUUUCUUUGAGGAGGUAGAUCAAAUGUUAAUUAAAUUAACAAAGUAAAUCAGACUCCAACGUAUAUUGUUAUUAUUAUUAUAUAUGCAUGAGUAUGUUGUUAUUAUUAUUGUAUUUUAUAAUAAGAGGGUACCAUCAGAUUCCAACGUAUCUACUCCCGCUACUAUUGGGUUGUUGCUCGUGAAUUCGACGGUUCAUAUAUACCCUCCACUGGUAUGGCACAGGAAACAACGUCACAUAAGGGACACUAAGUGACAACGAAUAAGACCUAGACCUAGACAGGUGCACCACGUCAGAUACGAUUCAGCCUAUACUUUUUCAAAUGUAGAAAACUUCAAAUUGAAAANUGAAUUUUUUUGGGUGCACCCGGUGCACUAGUUUUAUUUUAAAAUUUUAUUUUUUAUUUUUUAUUAUAAUUUAAUUAUAUAUUUAUAUUAUGAUAUUUUAAAAAUAUAUAUAUAAUAAUUUAGAUUUUAAAGAUUUUAAAAUUAGUUUUAACAUAUAUUUUUAAAUAUAAUAAAAUAUAUAUCUAUUAUAUUAAAUUAAAAAUUAAAAUUAAAAUUAAAAUUUUAAAAUAAAAAAUGGUGCACCGGGUGCACCGAAAAAAACCUGCUGCUCUCCCAAGAGGCAGAGCAGUAGGGACGGUGGCCCGCGUGGCUCGGGUGCCACGCGGCGCCCAUCCACACUGUCCUUAAAAAAAAAAAAAAUUUGGACAUGGUAUCCAUCAAAUUUUUACCCCCACCUCCACUAGCGCCGCGCCUUUAGAAUAUUUACGCGAAGCGACAGAAAUGAAAGGACGGUAAUAUAACGAGUCCGCCUCGAUGCUCGCGUGGCACUCAAAUAAUUGAGAACGACGUGGGGCCCAUCUACAGGACAGUAGCACGUGCUCUCGGCGGGGCCCACUCUGCCGACGGGUGGGCCCCACUCAUUUGGGAUUGGUGGCGUGGCCGAAUCUGCGUGGUUUGCAUGGAAACGGCCCGCGCGCAAAACGCGGUUACGUGAUGAAGUGGCUUCGCGUGAAUCAGAACCGUUCAAUCUAGACUAGUGAAUGGACCCUUUCGCGAAUGGUAGCCAAUGUCCAUUUUUGUGGAUGUUAAUGUAACAUUUAUUAAUGGGAUUAUCCUUGUAUCUCCUUUCUCUUUGGAAAUUACUUUUGGAUGGGGAUAAAAGAAUAAAAUAUUCGUGUUUAUUGGGCAACAUGAAAUAUUAACCAUAUAUAUAUAUAUAUAUAUAUAUAUAACCAAACAAGUAAAGUUGUUUCAUUAACGAGGGUGAUAUCGAAUAAUAUUGUGCAUACAAAUCAUUUUACAAGCUUUUUAUAAAUUCGUGCAAGUGAAAUUUAGAACUAAACUUUGUGAUUUGUGAACAAUCCUCAUUGAAAUAUAAACAUAUAAGUAAAUUUGACAAAAGUGGAUAAAAUAUUUGUAAUAGUACUGGUUCAAUUCUCAGAAGGGGUUUUGAAAUAAUAACCAACCUGAGAGAGAGAGAGAGAGAGAGAGAGAGAGUGAAAAACCUAAAAAAGCUUCGCCAACGAUACGGAUCAUUUAUACUUUAUUAUAUAUAUCUCUUAUAGUUUAUACCACGGACCCAUUGUUUAAAAAGACUAGUGAAUAUAUAUAUAUAUGUUAUAAACAGCUAGCAAAUGAUAAAAUUAUAAUAUACACUAUCAUCAUAUAAUCCUAUAACUUCCAUACAUCUUUUUUAAUGGCAAAUCCUGAAAAAGUAAUUAAGACAAGAUAUAGAUUAAGUGCGAUAUUUUAAAGUUUAAGCAAGAAAACAGUAAGCUUCAAAUGAACUACACCACAGGUGGGCGUGGCUUUGGAGUUUUCACUGCAGUAAUUAAAUAGCGGAGGCCAUUGUAAUUUGAGGUACAUAUAUGGGCUUCUUUUGAAGUUAUCGUUUUCACUUUUCAGUUCUCAGAGGGGUUGCCCAUGUGAAAAAAUCUAUUUCAUUAAUUAGCUAACCAUAAUAUUUCCAAUGACCAAGACAAGCCUUUAUUUCUAUGGACAACAGUGAAAAUUGAUAGGAAAGUGGACAUGUACUAUGAAACUCUUUUCUUUUUUGUAAAAAAGAGAAAGGCAAAAUACUAUUUGCUUUGUUAAUUUGAAUUUUAUUUUAGAAAUGAACUAAGUUGAAGAUGUAAAGCAACUAGGUUUUUGGGGCCUUUAAUACGUAUCAACUAUCAUGCUCUAUGGCGCUUGUAUUAGGAAAGGUGGGUAUAAAACUGUUAAAAAACAAGGUAGCAAUAAGAAAAAUGUCUGAGUAACUACUAUAUUCACUAUUGCGUUGGUCAAUUAAUCUAUAUACAUAUAUAUUGUGAAAUCCAGUGUAAACAUGAUCUAGUGAGUGAGCUCUUGAGGGUAAACAGGAACAAUACUCAAUUAUAUAAAAUCUAAAAUAUGUAUUCAAACACAUAUUCAAUUAAUUACAUAUAGCUUUGUUUAAAUUAAUGAGAGUAAUACAAUUACAUAUAUAGUCUAAUUUAUUCUUUUAAAUACAAAAAAAUAUAAGAAAAUAGCCAAUGAAAAGCAGAAUCACUUUUUUCCUUACCUUUGAUGCAGCAAACUUGGCGAAACCGGCUCGAGCAGUAAAAAACCAGUCCAAGGAGCUCAACCAGAUCGAACCAAGGAAUUAAAGUAGCGAGAUACUCGUAUAUUGAGAGACCAUGGAGAGCCAAGGGAUCUAGCCCGUUUUAUAGAGCAACUUAAAAGCAACUAAUCAAUGGCGUGGGAAUUGUGGUGUGGGGUCACCUGAGAAAGAGAUUGCCUAAGUUUGACAAAUGCGCUCAUGGUAACUAUUAGAUUGAUAAAAUAAAAAAUGACGCGUGGAUUGCGAGUAUCCAUUGUUUAGGCUACAACGAUGGGAACCCCAUUUAAUAUUUAUUAAUUAACACCAAUAAAAAAUAAUAUAUUUAGCUUCAAUGUAGGCGAUAUUUUGUAACUGUAGGAUUGGAAUCAGAAAUGUAGGAUUGGAAUCAGAAUCCCCCAACCACCAAACAGCUAGAUAUGCCCAAAUUAAAUUCUAGAUUGGAAUCCUAGUUAAACUUAUAAUUAAUAGUUAAGCAGAUCUUAUUCGUCCCUAAAUAUUGGAUUAAUGCAAUUAAUUUGUACGAAAUUAAAAAGGAUUAUAAUUUUUAAAAAAUUAUAGUAGCCACAUAUAGUUCAAAAUUUUCUGUUCGGAACUACAAGUCGAAUGAUGAAACUUCAACUUAUAAAAAAUUUUAAAAAUCGACAUUUUGAAUGUAUACAUAUAUCUAUAUAGGUGCAAUUAAUUAAUUUCUUUUUUUGACAAAAAGAAAUAAAAGAAACUUAGAAACCGGGGAAUUAAUUAUCGGUCCGUACGCGUGCGGUGGGUGAAACGUUUUGAACGAAGGGUUGUGUGAAAUGACCAAAAUUUUCUAUCAAUGAUGCAGGAAACUGAAAUAUGCAUGUGGUAGUUAUGCUUUUUUUAAUAUACAUUUUGUAUUUGUUUUUGUGAAAAAAGAAAGUUGUGAUUAAGGUCAAACAGCGUGAUUCAUGUUUGCUAGCUGUCAAUAUCUAAGCAUGCCACGUCAAGCUAAGGCUCCGCGUACGGCCACGAUCGAUGCUCUUUCACGUGAGACAUGAGCCUUAUAUUUAUACCAUCAACAUAAUAUUUUCUCUCCUAAUGGAUGAAGCAGAUAGCUUUGCUACCUUUUCUCAAAAAAAAAAAAAAAACAUAAUAUUUUCUCUCAAUAUAUUGAUGGUUUAUCUAAUAAUCCUCAUUAAACGUGCAAUAAUUUCACUGAUUAAAUUCGUUGCCUAAUAACUUUUAGUUAAAAUACCAUAAUAUCUUCAUGGACUGGAGCAUUUAUUAUUAUUAUUCUCGGAACAAAUAUAUUAAGUAUUUAUUUAGUACACUAGACCAAAUUUAAUAUAUCUCACCUAUUUUGAUGUUGGCUCUUCUAUUUAAAAAUAUGUGGAUUUAUGCAUUGACAAUUAUAUAUACAAUAUUCACUAAUCGUUCUCAGUGCAAAUGGCAAAUUAAGGAUUUGAUGGUCAAUAUUCGGGGUCCUAAAUUCGAAACCUAGUUGUUUCAUAUUUUUAGUUAAGUUUUUUUUUAAAAAUAAAAUAAAAGAAGCGAUAUCAUGCAUGCUACCAUUCUCGCUCUCUCUCUCUCUCUCAAAACAAAAAAAAAAAGAAAAAAAGAAAAAAGAAAAAAAAAGAAGACAAUUUACAGUAUUUAAUUUUGUUAGUUUAACUUGGAUUACUAUUUGAUAGGUGUGUGUAUAAAAGUGAAAUUAUUUUUUACAUGUGCAAUCAUGAGAACUAAUCUAAUAAGCAAAAUACAUAGUUUGAUGCAACUUUUUAUAUAUACUAUAUAAGUACGGUGCAUAUAUAAGCCCAACUGUAGAGGUAUAUACAUCUAUAUAUACUAUAGUAUAUAUAUAUAUAUAUAUUAUAUUAUAUGUAUAUAUAUAUAUAUAUAAUAUAUAAUAUUAUAAUAGUUUUAUUAUAUAUAUAAAUUAAUGAGAGAUUGACAGAGAAUACAUGCGAUGGCUUAGUUGCCACGCUCUUUAUAAGCUCGAAAAACGUAUUUGGGUAAGUAAGAUUGAAUAAUAUUUUAUAGGUUCAAAAUUUUUUUUUUUCUAUUGGUUUUAUAUGAAUUCUCCAAAGAAGUGCAAUCAAUUACACUUUUUUUUAUAUAUAAGUAAUGAGACUGAUCAUGAUCUGUUGACUAGCAAAAUAGAUAUAUUUUUCCUGACUAUAGAAUACAAUUAAAUCCGUAAGAUAUGACAUAUGAUAUGGUUUAAUUAUAUACCUAUAAGCAAUAAAAAAAUGUUUAAAGAGAAUAUGUGUGGAAUAUGAGUACAGUAAAUAUAAAUUUAUAAUCGCUUUUUUACUUAUUAAAUAUAUAAUUAAAGAUUCAAGAUGUAAUAUAUGAUUCAAUUCUUUUCAUGUCGUUACUACGCCUAACUAAUAUCAAUUGCCAUAAUAUCUAUGUCAUAAACACAACUUUUUCAUUCAACCAUUAGAGAUUUGCUGAUUUUUUCAACAAAAGUUUCAAAAUAACGAAAUCAAAAGCAAAUAGUUAAGGAAUAAUGGACCGCAAUAAUAUAUACAAAUAAAAUAAAAAAAAUGUUACAUGAAAUUACGAGAAUCACGAGGUAUUAGUUUACAUGAUUCAUCAUUGAUAUUUGUAGUUCAAAUGUUUAUAACUCCGCGGCUUUAUUUGGUCGCCUUCUAUUAUUAAUUAAUAAUAGUAGUUAAUUGUUAUUGCAUUAUUGAUAUAUCGAUGAUAUAUAUUUAGGACGCAACCAUCGGAGGACGCGAAUCGCAUAUUGCAAUGCGUUCGGACUAUGCGUGCAAGUGUAGAAUCGUGCUGUGCAACGCCUUUAGCCAAGAAAUAUUAGAGAAACGCAAGUAUUCAUUUAUAUCAUACAAAUAAUUGCAUUUUAAUUGCUAAUAAAAAUGCGCACAUGUUGGUUUGACUGCACGCAUGUUAGGAGAUAAGUCGUCACUAUUUUUAAGAAAUACUUAAUUUAUAGUAAUAAAAGGAUCAACUAUAUCUUCAUAAACUAUUUAUACAAGAAUUAUAUAAUAUUAAUUUUACUAAUUCACUUUUUAUUUUAGUUAAAUCAUAAUAAUAAUAAUAAGACUUAUAUAUAGGGAAUAAAAAAUAACUUUCAUAGACGGGUGUAGAAUUUACACACCAACAAUGAAUGCUCAUUUUUUUAAAAGGGCAAACUUCAAAUCCAUCCCUAUAGUUUAAUAUUUUUUUUAUUUUUAAAUAUUCUUUGUUUAAAAUGUAUGCACUUAGUAUCCAGUAAUUUUAUUUCAUCUUUUUUCUCAAGCUCUCAUUUCUCUUUUCGUCGCUCUCAGUUGACAUUAUUGUAAAUUAAUUAUAUAUAAAAAACUCAGAUAUCCAACCUAGCUAGAUUUUAUCGAAUAUUCACUUAUAGUGACUUUUUAUUUUAACUUUGUCAGUAAUUUAAUGAAAAAUUUAGUGAUGGAAUGAUAAAAGAGAAAUAAUAAAACUAUAUAUACUAAAUUGAUACACUUAAAACCAUAUGGUACUAAAAUAAAAAAGUGCGAGUAGUAUUUGAAUUUUUUCUUAGUUUCAAUAUAGUUCUUUUUUAAUAGUUAAAUAGAGUAUUUAAUUAGAAACUCUUACCUAAUUUUAGGUCUAGCGAAAAUUCGAGCCUUUUGAUUAUAGUACUUUAUAUUACAAAAAAUGUGGCUUAUUCGUAGCCUAACUAUUUUUAGAAUGUGUUAUCUGUGUAACACAUGGUGCUCUUUAUUAAACAGGUGACCCAAAUUAAAGACAUAUUCGAAGAGAAGCAUGUUGACGUUGAGGGUUGACCAAACGGAAGUUCCAUGGUGGCCAUGUUCCUAUAGUCUGUGAUGUGGUCCGCGUGAUAAGUAUGCAACACGAUUGUAAUUAAUUACUUCAUAAGCACAUUAAAUAGUUGAUAUUAGAUUUUUACAUGAUAUUUAAUUUUUCUUUAUAAUAUUCUCUUGUCAUAUAUACACAUCACGUUGAAGAGAGAGAGAGAAAGCUACAACUGUGCCGUUAAAUUAAGUUAACUUGUGAGAGGUAAAAUGGAAUUGCCAUCAACGAGAGGGAAACCAAAGUGGUUUACAGUUUACACACGAUGUGUCUCGCUCUCAACAUUAUAGGAUCUUGUACGUUGCAAAGUUAUUACACGUUCUACGUCAGUAAAUUAACUUUAGAAGUGUGGUGGGGGGAGAUGAAGCUAUAAAUGAAUUGAUUCCCACAAUUCAGGGACCAAUUGGCAUGCAUGUUUAUCAACACUUAGCUAGGAUAUAGAUUUUUUCCAAAACAAAUUCAAAUGUUAAGCUAGCUACGAUAUUUGUCACUUAGGGCAUGCGUAAAUAAUGGAGCAUUAUUCACAUGCUAGUCCAAGGUAUAUAUUUAUAAAUUUUGAGUAAUGCAUCAACCGUCCUAGCGUAAGUGACAAAAGGUUUCAUGGUUGGUAUUCGAGACCAAGUUCGAAUCCUAGUUGAUUCACAUUUUCAGCUAAGUUUAUUUCUAAAUGAAAUAAAACGAACGUGAUAGUAUGCUAUCUUUCUCUAAAAAAAUAUAUUUUGAGUAAUGCGCGGUGUCUCCGGGCAAGCGAUGAAUGUAUAGUUCGCACUAAUAGUAUACGUGGUAAUUGAACUUAAUUAUUAGUUUGCUAAUAGUAUAAUGGUAAUGAACUUGCACGUAUCAAUUAAAGUCUGAAAUUAAUUAUUAGAUCCUUAAGGUCCAAUGUAAUCGUAACUUCUGUAUUGCAAUAAUUAAACCUACUCAUCAAUACCGACCAUCCAAGCCUAAGUGACAAAAGGCUUGAUCGUUAUUGUAAUCUGAAAUUUCAAUUUUAAAACUUAAUUAUUUAAUUUUUAGCUAAAUUUAUUUCUAAAAAAAUAUUGCAUAGUACCAUGCUAUAUACUAUAAUAUUCUCUCUCCCGAAAUCCAAAAAAAAAAAAAAACAAAAAAAAACUACUCAUCAGUUAAUACUUUAGUUCAACUGAAUAUCAAGGCUUUCAACUUUUAAAUUGUUUUCAGAUGAAGUGACUUCCAAAUUGAUGAUCGAUUUUGUUAAAGUAAUUUAAUUAUAUGUAAAAUACAUAAAAAUAAAUUUUAUAAUUUUUCGAUAUUAUUUAUUAAAUGAUCAAAAUAUAUAACUCAAAAUUGUUAGUAAUUUCUAAUGGUCGAUAUGAAUUUUUGUAAGUUUAAUAGCAUAGAAAUAUUCCAAUAAAAUAAAAUUUCGAUUGAAAUUAUUUUAUGCUAUCUAAAAUAAAAUUAAUAAUUUUGAUUAAAAAUUUUAUUAUUAUAUUAUUAUUGUCUACGAGAUUUUAAUUUUUUGGCCAUUCAUUUACAAUUCACUCAAUCACUAGAUAAAAAAUAUAAAAAAAUCAUGAAAUUUAUUAUCUGGACGAAAGCCUCAAACUUAACUUUUAAGUCCCCAAGGUCAACUCUCAAUAUUAAUUUCAAGAUAUAAUAUUAUAAGGGUUUUGCUUUCAUCGUCGGUCACCGGCCACUAUGUUUCUUAGUAGGUUUUAUUUAUCAUAUUAUUACUUAUAUUGCUGAGUUGUUGGUGACGAUAGUGUUUUACUUCUUAUUAUCAUGUUAUCCGCUACACAUGUCGAAUAAUUAAUCACUUUUAAAGCAAUUGUUUCAGAUUAAUUACCGCUGGGUACUCUUAAUUAGCAACCUAAAAAACCCUUGCUAGUUACACUAGCUAGAUAAUACUCUUAUCUCCCAUCAAACUAAUAAUUUUUUUUUUUUUUGAGAAAAAGGUAGCAUGCUUCUCGUUUCAUUCAUUGGAAUGAACCAUCAAACUAAUAUUAAUUGGACCCUUUUGUUAAUUUUCUCCGAUCUGUUUUAUAUGAUGCUGGGCCAAUGGGAGGUGCAUUUUGCCUUUAGUACUCUAGCCACUCUCAGACAAACCACACCUUGAUUGAAAGCUAUGCAAUGAAUUAACUGUAGCUCAUGUGCUUAAAAACCACAACUUGCCCUUUCUUUUAAGAAAAGUAAUANNNNNNNNNNNNNNNNNNNNNNNNNNNNNNNNNNNNNNNNNNNNNNNNNNNNNNNNNNNNNNNNNNNNNNNNNNNNNNNNNNNNNNNNNNNNNNNNNNNNUUUGAAUCAAAUGUUGGUUUAUAGCUGUACUAAUGUCAUUAGAUUACCAGCGGGUUAGUUUAUGAUCUAAACUCAACUCUCGAAAGGUUACCAUUUGUAUUUACAUUUGAGCUUCAAAUUGAGUUUUGAGCAAAUCAUAUGGAACAAAUUCAAAAUCAACCUUAGUUUUUUUUAAAAAAAAAUAGUAAUCUUAGGGCAUUUAAAUAGAAAACACAAAACCACUCGGCAUUAACAUCAAAAUUUGCUAAACUGUUUACAGAUUAAGUUACCAUGUAGGCAUUAAUUACAAUAGUUAUUAUUAUUAUUUUUUUUUGAGAGAUAGAUAGCACGCUACCCGUUUCGUUUAUUUUAUUUAGAAAUAAACUUAGCUGAAAAUGUGAAUCAACUAGGAUUUAAAUUUAGGUCUCGAGUAUCAAUCACCAAGCCCUUUGCCGCUUGCUCUAGGGACGGUCAAUUUCAAUAGUUAUUAAACCCGAGCAUUUGAAGGUGCAAUUUGGCGUUUGGAGUGCAUUGGGGUAGUUUAUGGGGUACACUUUUGAGUAAGCAAAGCCGGAUGGGUACCGCCGAAGUGGUAAAGGGUGGAGUGUUUGAAACCGCGUCCCGGGACUGCGGCGGCGAUCGCGACGCGGGGCGACGCUGGUAAACGCUCCCAAAAAAGAAGAGUCUAAAGUGGGGGGUGAAAAAAAAAAAAAAAAAAAAAAAAAAAAAAANNNNNNNNNNNNNNNNNNNNNNNNNNNNNNNNNNNNNNNNNNNNNNNNNNNNNNNNNNNNNNNNNNNNNNNNNNNNNNNNNNNNNNNNNNNNNNNNNNNNNNNNNNNNNNNNNNNNNNNNNNNNNNNNNNNNNNNNNNNNNNNNNNNNNNNNNNNNNNNNNNNNNNNNNNNNNNNNNNNNNNNNNNNNNNNNNNNNNNNNNNNNNNNNNNNNNNNNNNNNNNNNNNNNNNNNNNNNNNNNNNNNNNNNNNNNNNNNNNNNNNNNNNNNNNNNNNNNNNNNNNNNNNNNNNNNNNNNNNNNNNNNNNNNNNNNNNNNNNNNNNNNNNNNNNNNNNNNNNNNNAGCAUCUAAUUUUAGGAUGAAAUUAUAAAUGAAAUACAGGCUGCAGUAGAUAGAAUUAUAUGUACAUUAGUCAACAACAGCUUAUUAUACUAAUCACCUUUAAACAACAAAAAAAGUUUAUUUCAACCUUACAUUAAGAUAAUCUUACUCAUUACCGUGUUUAGUAACUAUAAAAUGGUGCAAACAUAAUUUUCCAUCAACAUAUGCACAUCCAUCAAUAUAAUUUAUAAGUUAAGACACCCUAUAUAUCAACUCACGCUAUCAAAUACUUUGGUGCUAUCAGUAGUACAAGUCUCUUGGGGCCACUUCAAGCGCUUUCCGCCGUUAGAUCUGCCUUUUUCAUUAUUUCCAGAUAAACCAUUAUUAUAACUGUUCAAAAACCAACCAUCCACUCAACUCAUAGAAGACGCAUCUAACCGCAACUAUUUUAAUUAAGGAUCCGAAAACCUAAUAGCACCAAUUUACUUAGUAUUAUCAAUAAUAUAGUAGCCUAGUUCCAAUUAAAUAUACAUAUAAAACUAUGCUGUUAUACUAUUGAUAAUACUGAUCGCUUGGUGCUUAUCGAGUUUUCGAACUUUGGAUGAAAGGAUGUGCGGUUAGGAUGUAUUAGUGAUCCCUUAGAGUGAAUAUGGGUGAUCUGUUGAAUACACAACGUAAUGGUAGAAAUGAUCAAAGAUAAAUCAAACAACAGAAAACUUGAUAGUAUUAAGAACUUGAUACUAUCGAUAGAAUAGUAGCCAACACUUUAUAUAAUAUAUAUAUAGAGAGAGAGAGAGAGAGAGAGAGAGAGGAGAGAGAGAGAGAGAGAGAGAGAGGUUGAGUUAGAAUACAUUUAAAACGUUUUUUUUUUUUUGCAUUUGGCCCUCUCAAAAUAUUUUUUUUACAAAUAGCCUCUAUCAAAUACUAUUCAACUACCGUCGCUAACUCAAGUAAGAUAUAUCAUCCUAAUCGCUAUAACAUUCCAUCCAAAAAUAUAAAUCUAAAAGACCAACCUUUUGUGCUUUUAGAAAUAUUCUAGCUCAAUUCUCUUCUCUCUCUCUCUUCUCUCGUUCUCUCUCUCUCUCAUCUCCUCUCUCUCUCUCUUAUAUAUUAGUAUAUAUUAUAUAUAUAUAUAUAUAUAUAGAACUAGGCCACUAUGCUAUUAAUAGCACAAAGUCAUUGGUGCUAUCAAGUUUUGGCCAUUGAAUUAAAAAAUGUGUGGUUAGGAUGAUAUGGGCCAUCUAGGGUUGAGCGGGUGGUUAGUUGAAUAGUAUAAUCUAACGGGUGAAAAUUAUCAAAAUGGUAGAUUUAACGGCAGAAAACUUGAUAGCACCAAGUGUUUUGUACUAUUAAUAGUAUAGUAGCCGGACUCUAUAUAUAUACACACACACAUCCAAACUGAGAAGAUAGACGUAGCUGUAAAAUACAACCAAAUAAUCUUUUAUAAAUUGGACUCGAUUUGAACAUUUAAUGGACGUCAACAACACGCGCUUUGGAUUGUUCAACCAAUUGUAGAAAUCUGAGUUUCACUGGGACCAGAUGGAACGAAAAAGGGCUUUGUAGCUCUUAACUGGGGAAGGUGAAGAACAGGACUAUUGAGUGGUUAUAAUCUGGUAGAAAGUAUACAAAAAGGAACUUUCCUUUUUAUUUCUUAUCUUGUUUUCUUUAAUUAGCUUUUUUUUUUUUUUUUUUUAGUUUUAGAUUCGAGUAGUUGCUGUUAUACUCGGAUAACAUAUCGGAGCAAUUUGAUUUGCACGUGCAUAUCAUUUAAACAUUAAUAUUAAAAGAUUCACUAAUGACAGAGAUAGGUAAAAAUUAUUAAAUUUGGCUAUAUCUAAUUAAAUAAAUAACGACCAGGUUUAAUAAAUUUUAUAUGUUAAUAUUGAAAUUAGACCUCUUACGACCCAUCAGUUAAUGAGUGGGCUGUAUAGACUAUGCUAAUCCACCGUAAUGGGCCGAGGUUGCUACUUGGCCCAUAUUUUUUUUUUAUUUACUUUGAAAAAAUUAUCAUCUUCAUUGUUUUUCCUUUGAUUUCAUCUCACAGCCGACACGUGGAGAUAAUAUCAAGACAUUAGUCCACACAUCUAAUCUAAAUAAAAUAUGAAAGAUAAUGUAAUGUUACGUGAAUUUCUCAAUAACACAGUAUUUUUAUAAAAUUUAUUGCUAUUAAUAGUGAAAAUGAUGUUAUCAAAACUCACUCUAAUAUUUUACAGCACCAAAAAAAUUAAGAAAUAUCUCAAAAUUUUCUUUUGCAAUGAUUUUUUUUUUGUUUAGAAUUUUAAUUUUAUUAUUAUUAUUAUUAUUAUUACACUAGAGAAGAACAUUUUUAAAAUACUUAAAAAAUGUAUUUUACGUUUGUCUUAGCUACGCCCAAAUGUACGCUACGGGGAAUUGUGUUUUUUUAUCAGUACCAGUACGACCAAACCGUAUUUGAUUAAACCACUUCAACAACCGAAAUUGCUCGAUUCCUGAAGCAUCCAUUUCCCCCAUUUUUCUUUGUAUAUAUUUUUAUUCGUAAUUUUACGCCGAGUAAUUCGGUGUUGGUCGCAUCACCGGUCCCUCCGCCUCGGUUUCCUCUCUCCUGCCUCCGCCGCCACGAAUCUCGAGCGCGUCCAUUAUUAGAUCGCCAUUGUUGGGGGUUUUUUUUCGUUCGAUUUUGUUUCGAUCCGAAGGGUUUUUCUCCUCUCCGAAUCGAAGUUUGCUUUUCUUUCCGCGACAUGAUAUGAGAUCCCAGGGUUUGCUGUAGUUCGAUUGUGGAGUAGAUGUAUUUAGGAGUUAAGAGUUUUUGUUUUAGUAGAUCUCUCUAAUUUGCACUGUGCUUGGUGAAUCAGUGCCCUGCGAGGUUGAGAAAUUCUAGGGUUCUUACAAUCUGAUCGUUUGAGAGUUAUUUUCUGUGACCUGGAUGCUGUUUAUGUUGAGAAUUCGGCCGUUUUAGGGUUUAGAAUGUGAGAUCUAUUUGACUUGAGCUCCUGGUCUUAAAUUGGAGUUUCCUAGCUACAUGUUUGGUGCAAAAUUAGUGUUUUAUAGCCACAGCUUUAUUUUGUUAAUAUCUAGAUUAUUUGAAUUAAAGUUCCUUUUUUGUUUUUAACCCUGGGGAUUAGAAAUUACAAGCAGCUUAGCACAGAACGAACUUCUGUUACAUAGGGCAUGAAAUCUCUGAAUUUUGACUUCUCUGUUUCGUCGAUUCAAUCCGACCUUUCAACUUGAGAGAUAUAUAUUUCGGUUCCUAUGGAGGCUAAAGUCGGUGGCAGCGUAGAACAUCAGCUUCAUUGUGCCAAAACAUCCAAUGGACUCAAAAAGAAGAAUUUUGAUUGGGAUUUGAAUGAUUGGAAAUGGGACGGCAGUCUCUUCACGGCUACGCCGCUGAAUUCUGCUCCAUCGGAUUGCCGUAACAAGCAAUUAUUCUGUGUGCAAGAAGCUGCCAUGCAAGCAAAUCGCUCAACUUUUGGUCCCAACGAGAUCGAUUUCGGUCUCACUCAGAAAGGUAAUGGAAAACUAGAAGGGAAGCGUAGGAGGAUUAUAGUGGUAGAAGAAGAGGAAGAAGAUGAUGAAUCUUAUGAUCAAUUUGGAUCUCCUUCCUUGAAGCUCGGGGAACAAUCUCAUCUGGUUUCUGAGGCUGGGCCUGCCCCCCUAGAAGAGAACAAUGAGAAGAGUGCCAAGUUGCAGGGCAGAAAUUCGAGUGGGCCCUCUUGCCAAGUGGCGGGUUGCGGGGGUGAUCUCACUGAAGCAAGGGAUUACCUGAGGAGGCACAAGGUUUGCGAAGUGCAUUACAAAGCCAAGAGUGCGCUUGUAGGGAAUGAUAUGAAGCGGUUUUGUCAGCAAUGUAGCAGGUUUUUUAUUAAUUUCAUGCUAGAUAAAUAUUUGUCUGUUGAAUUAUUUUGGUAAUCGUAUUGAUUCGUUUGGUUAUUAUCCGUCAACUAAAUUUGAUUGCCAGGUAGUGGUGCCCUUGGUGGUCUAUUGGAUUGAUAUUACAUGCUGAGUAGAAUUAUGCUUGGUUGCUGUUUAGUCAACCGCAACCAAACAAAUGAUCAUUUUUAGCAUAAUUUGGUUCUCUGAUGGUUGAACUAAUUAUGCUAGUAUUUAAUAAAAUAUAAACUUUGUCCCAUAAUAUGCCCGAGAAUAUUAUAUAAUACAUUUUGCUGUGGGUUUAUAAAUGUAGUUAUAUUGUAUUGGCAGGUUCCACCUUCUCCAAGAAUUUGAUGGAGACAAGAGAAGUUGCCGGCGGCGACUGGCUGGGCACAACGAAAGGAGAAGAAAAACUCCAGCCAAUCCCACUCCGAAUGGGACCUCUUUCGAUGGUGAUCAAAAUAGCAGCUAUAUAUUGCUCAGUUUGCUGAAAAUACUUUCCAACUUAGAGUGUAAGUUAUUAUAUUGCAUAUUGGAAAUCCAUAAUUCCAUUUCUCUGAUGUUCUGUAUACUAUUACAUGCUUCUUCUUAUGAAUCUUUUGUUGCAGCAUUUCAGUCACAAGACUGCUUUUCAUUUUAAUAUUUUUAUCAUGUUCUUUUCUUUGUUCUGCACUUCCACAUAGUAUACCAUACCAUUCUGUCGAUAUUAUGAUUUCAAACAUAUUUUUUUUGCUAUUGUAAACUUAAUUUUCUACGAUAACUUUGAUGAUGCGAUAAUGAAUUUUGUUUUGAAAUUAUUGCAGCUGUUAACUCUGAGCAACCAAAUAAUCAGGAACUUCUGAUCCAUCUCCUGACAAACCUCGCUGGACUCGCGGGUUCAUCUGAUUCAAGAAACAUUGCUCGGCUCCUUCAGGCAUCUCAAGAAAAUCUGCACAAAUCUGGAAGUUCUGCUGGGCAGUCAUCAGAAGCUGCUAAUGCACUUCCAAACAGCUAUACUUUGCUUGAACCUAAUACUACUGUAGCUACUACUGCUGCAGCUUCAGCUAUGCCUUUGGAAAGAACUAAAGCAGGAGCUCCUGUAGUAGAGAAAGAGCCAGGAAUUCCUUCUCAAAGGACAGAAGAGGCGCCUUUGCAACUUAAUAGGUUAAAGAAUUUUGAUUUAAAUUGCACCUAUAAUGAUCAAGAGCAUUGCUUAGAACAGCACACAGCAACAACUGCCACUCAGCAAAAUGGUUCACUUGCUUAUGCUACUUGGAUGGUGAAGCAGUCCGGUCCGUCACAGAUGAAUGGUAAUUUAGAUUCUUCGUCUUGGCGAUCUCUAAACUCGAACAGAAAUGAUCAGGUAUUUCAUCUUUGUUCGACAAUCAACAUUCUAGUACUUUUGUCUACAUAAAAAUUGGAUACUCUCUGCUGGAAAACUUCGUUCUUUGCAUUGCUAUUGUUGAGCUCUGGUUAGCAAAAGCUUGAGCUCCAGCUUCAUCCGGUGUCUUGUCUAUUUUAGCUAUUUAACUAUUUGAACCAAAGUUGGUUGUGAACCAUAAAUAUAAUCAUUAUUAUAUUGCAAAACUUAUGUGUAGGCUCAUUUUUUCAUUAGCAAACUCAAAAGGGAGUUUUACAUUUUCCUUGUUCAGCAAAUAAACUAUCUUGAACUAAGUUACCACUUGAAGUGGAUUUUUCCAUUACUUGUUUCUAAUGCUAAAACUGCCCAACUUUUUGCUUGUGCACUCGAAGUGGGCAUAGUAAUGUAUCUUGGGGAAAUUGUAUUGUCGGACAAAUAUUGUGGCAAUGCUUGAUUCUUAUUCCUGGCUGCUAUGAAGUUUCCAGAAAUUUCACAUCAUUGAAAAUCAUUUGAAUUUCGAGUUUGUCUGUUUAACGGAAAAUAACUCUCUAUGUAUCCAGGACCGCUACUCUCUAAUAGGUUCGAACAACUGUUUUCAUGUCAAAUAUUUUAUAAAUCUAGCGAAACAUAAGUAAGUUUCUUCUUCAUAACAUUUAUGCCAUUUGCAGAGUCGUACAGACAAAAUUGUCUUCAAGCUCUUUGGAAAAGAUCCAAAAGAUUUCCCUCUUGUUUUGCAUCCGCAGGUAAAUUAUUUUAUUUAACUUAUAUACUUUAUACACUUCUAGCAUUAAACAAAAAAAAUGCUUGCUGGUACAUGUUCCUUUAGUAGCUUAUUAAUGAAUUUCAUUUACAGAUAUCCAACUGGUUGUUACAUUGUCCUACCGAGAUGGAAAGCUAUAUUAGGCCUGGUUGUAUCAUUCUAACACUUUAUCUUCGUCUGGCUGACUCUCUGUGGGAGGAGGUAACCUUUUACAUGUGACAUAAUAUCAUGAACUACCAGAAUUGUUAGUUAUCAUCUUCUACUGCUUACUAGUUUAUGCUAACUUGUUGUACAUAAAGCUCUACCAUGAUCUUACUUCUUGGAUGGAGAGGCUACUCAAUAUCUCCAGUGACGACUUUUGGAGGACUGGAUGGGUAAUUGCUAGGGUACAACAUCAUAUGGCAUUUAUUUACAAUGGUGCGUUGGACAUUGUCUAGAGUAGUACAUUAUUUCUUUUAUUGUUUUAAUAAUCUUUUUUCUACUUGGUGCAUGUUUGGCCUGGCUUCUGAUGUAGCUUUUCUAUUAUAAGGGGUAGCAUUUAGGCAUUUAGCAAACUGAAGAUCUGGAGCUUUUGUUGUAGUUGAAAGCUAACAUAAGCUUCUAGGUCCCAAAAUCUGCUUUUGCCUACUGUUUGGUAAUUUUAGUGAAAAUGUGGUUGAAUUUUUCUGAUAACAGCUUUACAAACAGCAUUUCUGUGUAAGCUCCAGUCAGACCAAACAGCUUCUUAUAUUAUUAGCUACACUCAAUUUCUGGAAUCUCCUUGUCUCAUCUUAUUAGUGCUGUUGCUGUAGGCAUGGUUUUACUAGAAGCUCCUUUACCAUCCGAAACACAUAAUUCUUGCAAAAUUUUGUCAGUCACGCCUAUUGCUGUUCCUUGUUCUUCUACGGUUAACUUCACAGUAAAGGGCUUGAGUCUGGCACAAUCCACCUCAAGGUGUGUUUCUACUUGCAUUAUCUUCUUUUCCAUCUUACUCUUUUUCACCUUGGCUUUUUUUUUUUUCCUUCUCUUUUGUCGUUUUUAACUCACAAAAAUUUCUGUCUAACUUAGGUUACUUUGUGCAUUUGAUGGGAAGUACUUGUUCGAAGAAACAACACAAGCUUUGUGUAAUGGUACUAAUGAAUUACCAGAGUGUCUGAGCUUCUCUUGCUCCAUCCCUGAUGCAACUGGGAGAGGAUUUAUUGAGGUUUCUGCUCUAUUAUGGUUGAUAAUAAUGCCUGUUUCCACACCCUUUUAUUUCCGUCUAAUGUCUGGUUAUGCUUACAGGUUGAAGAUUAUGAUUAUAGCAGUAUCAUUUUUCCAUUUAUAGUUGCAGAAGACAACAUUUGCUCUGAGAUUCGCGCUCUAGAGAAUGAAAUCAAUGUUGCCUCAUACGAUAAACUCUUUGAAGAAGGAAUGGGAUCUAUAAAUACCCAACACGAGGCAGUAAAAUUUUUACAUGAAAUGGGUUGGCUACUUCGAAGGAGUCACAUGCAGUCUAAAUCUCAGCAAAUAGAGUUUCACACUGAGGUCUUUACUCCGACCCGGUUCAGGUGGCUUGUGUCCUUUGCCGUGAAUCGAGAAUGGUGUGCAGUUGUUAAGAAGCUUUUAGAUGUAAUGUUUCAUGGAAGCAUUGACUUAGAUGAUCAGACUCCAUCAGAGUUUGCUUUAGGAGAAGAUUUGCUUCAUACUGCUGUUAGGAAGAAGUCAAAGCCAUUGGUCGAACUUCUAUUGAGAUACAGAACAGAGGCUGCUUUAAAGGAGAAAACUCCUCCUGGCUUUUUGUUUAGACCUGAUAUGAUGGGCCCCUCAAAUAUAACACCUCUCCAUGUUGCAGCCACAAUUAGUGAGGCUGAGGGAGUAUUGGAUGCCUUGACCAAUGAUCCUCAGCAGGUAUUCCCUUUUCUAAAUUCAGUAUCUUUUACUUUUUGUACUUGAGUGCAAAGUUAGCUGUAUGCUUAGUAACACGCACAUGAUGUCAUAAUGUGUCAAAUAGGCAUUUAGAUCGAACUUUACACUGCAUUACCGGACGCAGAUUAAAAUUUUACCUAGCCAAUGCUUAGUCUUAUUCAAAUACAGCAAAAUUUCAUCAGAAGAAGAAUAUUCAAGCCUUUAGUGUAAAUUGUCUAGUGUUGAUUCUGGGGUUUUGUUCUUCGUUCGCCUUCAUUUUGAACAGGAUUCUUUUCAAACCAUGUCAUAUAAUGUCUUCUGUUGGUACUUUUUCAUAUGCCCUCCUCAGCCCUCUCUAGGUUUAUUCUACUUGAACAGUUGAAUGGAAUCAUUCUUCUUAGUGAUGCACUUUGUGAUCUUUCAUUGAGCAUAUUCAAAUAUCAGAGCAGGUAAUUUAUUUUUAGGCGAAGUUCAUGCAAUACAAGUUACAGGACUUGAAUUUUUGUCUUGGUUGACUAUCAAGAUCCUUUUCCUCAAUAAGACAUAAGGGAAUUACUCACUGGUGGAUCCACUGUUAAGUGUCCAAAAGCAGUGAUAUUAUCCUUUUGAAAGUUAUUUCUCUUAUCUGUUUCUUCAUUUCCUGUUUCCAUGUUUUUUCUUGUGAAUCCCGAAUCCCACUUGAACCCACAUAUCUACCAAAGAUAAUUGAAUUUGGCUCUUGUGCUCUUUCUUUCCGUUGUUUCUUGACUGCUGUAUUAGAUUUUCUACUGUAAUACAAUUACUUCAACUCAGAAGAUCAGAUUAGACUCUUUCUCGCCCCUAAUACCAAAUUUGGAAUCUAAGCUUUUAACUCUUACUUUGUCCACUCCAG
RNAcentral lists this long non-coding RNA (82369 nucleotides) under Ananas comosus (pineapple). RNAcentral describes it as "long non-coding RNA (ACOM_LNC006479)". The record is from RNAcentral. Lineage: Eukaryota; Viridiplantae; Streptophyta; Magnoliopsida; Poales; Bromeliaceae.